AAGGUGUAGGUUCAUGAACCUAUUCUAAAGUUUCAAUCAAUUCACGUCAAUGUCCACACCAAAAAAAUAACAACAUAAUGUAGAGUAGUUUUCUUAAAAUAAAAAGGUCACACUAAAAUUUUAAAUGAGAUUACUAUUUAAAAAGUUAAGAAUUUAAUUUAUAUGCAUUAUCAAUAAGUCAAUAUAAAAAAAUUACAUUAUCAAUCAAUCAAAAUCAAUAAAAAAGUUGUCGUUGAUAUAACUACUAAAAUAAUUAUUAUAAGAGAUUAAAAUUUAAUAAAUUUAUUGUGCAUAGUAAUUAAAUAACAAUAAAAAAAUCUUUUGCGGGACUGUUGUGGAUGGUUAGCAAACACUAGACAAUAUAUGAAAUAUUAUGACAUGCAAAAAAAGUAAAAUACUAUAAUGUUUUAUCAUGCGAACCUCCUCUCUCAAUCCAAAACAGUGAUUCUACAAUCUUUCUUUUUAUGUUAAUACAUGUUUGGCUUCGCCUUAAAUUCUCUACAAUUGCGUUGAAAUACAAUUUAGCGUGAUUUUAAAUAGAUUUUUGCAUAUUUUACAUAUUAAAAAGUAGAUUUUUUUCGUAUUUGAUUUUAUGUUGGAGAAAUAAUUCUGUAUUUAAAAUUAAGUUUAAGUUGAAACAUCUUCUAAAUAACUUUUUUAAUUUCCAGCUUGUUUUAUAAUAAAAACAUUAAAAUAAAAGUCAUAUCACUUCAAAAUAGGUGUUUUCCUUAUAAUGUUGGUGUACUUUCCUUUUGAAGCCACUAAGACAAAGUAAUCAAUGAUUAAAGAUUGGGAUUUCCCAAUGGUAAUGGGAUAAGCUAUUAUAUUCUUGGUGGAAGGUUUCAUUAUGUAGAAGUUUGAGAGAAGCAAUAUUAAUGGGUACUUAGAUGAUGUCACGGUGUGAGGCUUCUAUUUGUGAAAGUUUGGACAAAAAUCAUUUAAUUCAUAUCGUCACCCAUUUGUGUUUAUGAGACACGCAUGAAUGAGAAUAUGGUUGGAACCUAGGGCAGUGGUGGCCCUCAGGGCAAUCUAGGUGUGCCACCGCCUGGGGUUCCCUAUUUUAGGGGUACUAAUUUUUUUAUAUAAUUUAUAUAAAUAUUAAAAUAAAUUUUCUAUAUGAUUUUAAAAUUAUAUAAGAAAUUAAUAUAAAAAUAAUAUUCAAUGUUGCGAGUCCCACAUCGAAUGAUUAACUAUUAUAAUAAAUAUUUAUAUAGUUGGGUAGACCAUCCCUUAUAAACCUCUUUUUAAGGAAAUCUUUUGAAUGCCUACACUUUAAUAAAUAAAUUUCUUUUAAAAAAAUAAUAACAUUAAUUAGUCAAUUAAUAGUGAUGUUUUCACUUAUUAACAAAAUUUAUUCACAAUUCUAAGAAAAGGAAUAAAAAAUUUAGGUACAAUGUUGAGCUUAAAAGAGAAGAGUAUAACAUAUUAUUUCCUUCAUUUGCUAUUAUUAGCGUUAACAUAAUUACAUAAACAAAGUUGUUGAACCAAAAAUUACAACCGUUAUGGUUAAAACUUCAACAAUAAAUCAAAACCAAACUUUAUGAUAUUAAGUUAUUUGAAAAUAUUUAAUUGUUUUCUUCAUGCAUGUAUAACUUGUAAAAUAAUAUUAACUACUGUGUUUAUUAUUGCAUAUACCAAAAGAAGCUAAUUUAUCAAUUUUAAAAUUGUUAAAAUCUUAUUUGAAAUAUUGACACAAGGUAGAUUAAAUAAACUUGUUUUGAUUUCUAUUGAAUAUGAUUAUUUAAAUCUUUUUUUAUUAUGAACAAACUAAGAAGGAUUUUUGCCCAAAAAAUGCAGAAGAAUAAAAUUCAAAUGACUAUGAGAAUAUAAUUUUUUAGGGUAUCAAAAAUCUCAGAGUCAACCCUAAAUUAUAGAGAAGCCAAAAUGGAUGACAAGUUUAUAACACAAAACAUUUUAUCCUAGCUAACCCUUUUAGAUAAGAAGGACUAAGAAGAUAACCCUUUUUAUUGCAUAUAUCCUUUAUUUCAUCUAAUGCUUUCUUUCUUAUUUUCUUAUCUUUCUCUUAAAUUACAAAGUUUGUUCUAUAAAAUUUACAAGUGUGAAGCAUUGUCCUUAAAAAUUUAAUCCAAUAAAUCAUUUUUGUUCUGUAAAUGAUACACAAAAUUUAGCUUGUAGAUGCAUGUUUAUGAAAAUGCACUACAAUAGAAAAGUGAUAACGUAUUGGUACGUACCCAAUUUUUUUAUAUAUAAAAAAAUGCCUUAGCUUCUAGCUAGCAUUUCCUAUAUAGCUGUAUCAUAGCUCACUAAAGUUUGAUAUUUUCCAUCUUAAUAUAACUUUUCAUGCUUUCACUUUGUCUUGCUUUGGGGUCUUGUUAGUAAAACUUCUUUGCAUGGAAAGAUGUUAAGUGAAAAGGGCCAGGGGAGGAGGGGUCAUCUUUUUCAGGGAAAGUUGAGAAAGAAAUCCAAGAAAGUUGAAAAUUUUCCAGACGUAAAUGCAUGAAACUAGUUAUAUAUAGUGAGAAUCAGAAAAUAAAAGUUUUCGCUAAUUACAUGAGUGAUACGAGAAAGACAAAAAAAAUGGUAUGAAAGGAACAUAUAAUGAACGCUUAGGUUACAUGUCAUUCAUCCAAAACUAGCCAAUAACAUCCAAUCACUCACUAGUCCUCUAAUAAACUGGUCGGUGACUUAACCUUUUGCUAAAAAACAUGACAUGAAAGCAACGUAUCGAAGAGUUGAAGACUCGAUGGCCAUGCGCGACACAUCAUUUACACUAAAAAUUAUAAUUAAGCAAAGCAUCUACAUUCCUAAUUAGAUUAUGCUUUGAGUAAUGUUAUAACAUUACUCGCAACAUGAUCGAAUUUAAAUUUUGAACAUUAGUGAUUAUUAAUUUAUUAUAAUUAAAAUAAAAUAUGAUUUAAAUUAACUUUUUUGUAGAUAAUAACAAUAAUUUAAAUUUGAAAAAUUAUAAAAUCUUUUAAAAAUAACUACUUCGACUCUGGCAUGUUGUAUAUAAAGAUCAAACAUUGAAGGUGAUAUCUCAGAUGGCGCCUCCCAACCCGUGCAGAUUGAUUAAUAGUUUUUUUUUUUCUACACUUAUCUGAUUUUUUGUAAUACCCGUUUCGAAAAAAAAUCGCAGACUUUGGUUAAGCAACCAUUUUAAAAAAAGAAAGGUCACGUCCACAUUCUAUACAAAUAACUUCAGAGUCAGAAGAGAUACAUGCACUAUUAAAUCUUUGUUCAAUAUCUCAAACUAUUUUGGAUAAUAAGACACUGAAUAUCCAUGUUAAUCAGAAAAUGAAAAGAAGAAACAACUCAUGCCUAUGCGAAAAAUAUACAUGACUUUGGAUUUGAAGAAUUGUUAGGAUAGUCUUGUACAAAAAUCAACACUAGUGAACAGUAAAAUAAUAUCCAACUCAUGAUGAUGGUCACAUUCAGUAGUUAGUAGUCAUUUUCCUGCAUGUCGUGUUCUUAUCUUAGAUGCCGUCGCAAGUGGAUCAUCAUCAUCAUUAAUAGCUUUGUGGCAUCACGUGCGGUAUUUCAUCUUUACAAUUUGAUUUUCAAAAUAUUUUAUCAUGUAAAAGUAUUCUAAUUUUAGUUAAAUUUAAAGCGAUUGUUUCUUAAAUUUUCUAUUUUAAAAAAACAUGGUUAAUUUCAUCGUAAAGUUCUUAAUUCAAAACAAAAGUUAUAGUUUAUUUAAUUUUUUUUAUCAAAUGUACGUAUAAAGAUACAUUUAUUUCUAAUUAAUCAAAUUUACCCUUAUAAUAAACUAACAAUUUAAAAAACAUAAGUUGUUUAACUAGAGACACAAAAAAUAAUAAUAAUAAUAAUAAUAAUAAUAAUAAUAAUAACUAAUUAUCAACAAGUAACUAGUCUAAAUGAUAUUAGAGUCUCCAUUUUAUUAAGUUAAUGAAUACUCCACAUUAAUAUUAUGGUGACUUAAUAAAAGAGACAAAUAAUUUUAUGAAAAGUGUUAUAAACAUGCUAUUUUGCACAUUCUUUUAAACAUAUUGGUUGGUUAAAAUUUAUUAAAAAUUAUAACAUGAGUAUUAAAUAUGAUGUGAGGUCCACCAAAAAAAAUUAUUUUUAAAUUUUGUAAUUUUCAAUAAUUUUUAAUCAAUAAAAGAAAAUGUAUUUGACAAAUAUGAUUAGGAAUAGUUUAAGAAAUAUAAAUCUUUUGUUAUACGAAUAACAUUUUACUAAUAAUAAAAAAAGAGUUGCUCCUUCAUUUUAUGUCAUACGAAUAACUUAUGUAAUAAUUUAUAAAUUAUUGAAAAGAUAAUGAGUUAUUUAAUGGAGUAUAUCUUGCUUUCUAUUAUUUUGGAUUUCACUUAUAUUUUUUAGAAAUAAGAAUCUUUUAAGAAUUAUUCGAUUGGAAAAAGCAUACUAAAUACAUAUAUCACGUAAAAUAAUAAUGACAUGAUAUUAUAAACAAAUAAAACAAAUUCCAAAAUAUUAUAUGUAGUGUAUUUGUUUUUUUAGAAGAAUACGUAGUAUAUUGUUAAAGUAUCAAAUAUGCUCUUAAAAAUGUCAUGUAUGACAAAAAGUUAAUGGUAGUAUUAAAUUAUGAUUUUUCAGUCAAAAAAACUAAAUUAUGAUUUUAAACGUGCACCAAUAAAAGAAAAAAAAACUGUAGACGAUGUCUUCCUUAGCAAUUAGCAUCAGCCAACUUCAACUGACGUGAACGAUGGCGUCGGCAAUUAUCUCGUGAACUCUUCUAGUAGUGUUGGGUGUGGACUUUUUUUUUAUAGGUAAAUUAAAUUUUAUUAAAAUUAAGCUAAUUGUAACACAGUAAGUGUACAAAUAAUAGAACAGGAACUACAUUUCCAUUCAUAUGCAUUUUUUUCGAAUGUUUAUUCUGUUUCUGAAACUAUAGGUUACGAAUUACUUCAUAUGCACGCAGAAUAAUUCCCAUCUACAGUACGAACUAUCGUAACUACUCCAAACCUGCUACAACCGACUAUGUAAAUUAACAACCAUAACUCACUCGAUAUAUAACAGCAACUACAACAGAUUUGCUAACUAACGCAUUCACAAUGCAUAGUUAUUUAUAAGGUUGCUUAAAUGUAUUUUUUAUUAAAAGUUACAAGUUAAUAUGAUGAAUGAAAUGAGAAUGGGAGAAAGAAAGAGAUAAUGCAUUUAAGAAUCUCUCGCAUUAAUAAAAAUUAACAACUAAUAUCUUAUUUUAUUCAUUACACGGAUGAUAUUUAUAAAUUUUAUUGAAGAUUAAUUUUUGUCAAAAAUUUUAUUCAGCUACUUCCAGUGGAUCCUUUCCUAGUAAUGUUUUUCCUUUCAUCUAUAAAACUUAAAUUCAAUAUAUUAUUUAAGAAGAGUUCAGUCAAAUUAUCAACUCCAUCAUAUCAUAUACUUAAGUUCAUAUCAUAGUUUUUAUUAUGUUUAUUAGUAUAAUAAUUUUGAAAUAUAAUGUUAACAAUAAUAAAAUAAAUAAUAUAAAUAGUGUAACAGCUAAAAUAGCAACCUAAUGUAACAAAUAUUCAAAACAUAAUAUAAAUAGAUAAAUUUAGCAUUUAUCAAUAUGAAUAUCUUGAAAUAUAAAUUUAAUUAUUUUUAAAAAUAUUUUUUUAUCAAUUUAAAUUAGUUAUUAAAAAUUAUAUAUUAAAACAUAUUGUGAAUUUUAAUUAUAAUAUAAUUUAUACAUAAAAAAUACUACACGAACUAAAAUGGUGAUAGUGUAAUUCUCCCUUGCAGUUUCCACUGAGUCUUUUCCUGCAAGGCUCUCGUUAAAGUUUUAAAAACAUGCGCUAUUAACUAUAGGCCUAGCCUGCCGGUACAUGCGCUGCCAUGUCUGCAAUUUGCAAUCAGCCAAAAUCUUCUCAUAUCCUUAGUCGGUUAUUAGAUAUAAUUAGAUUGGAGUGUUUCUAACGAGAGAAUAAAUUAUGAUUUAUUUUACAUUUAAAAUAUAUUAUAGUAAUAAAUAGAGAAAAAUAAAUUUAUGUAUUUGAAUAUAUGUUUUUGAAAUAAUAAUUUUUUUCAAUAGUAUGAAAACCUUACCUAAUUGUAAUAUUUAUUUGAUUAAAUUGAAUUCUUUAAUUUAAUUGUCAAAUAAAUUUUUUUCUCUUGCAAAGAUUUAAACAUUUAUUUGUAUAAUCCCAUAGUUUUAAUGUUAAAUUGAUAGUAAAUUAAUUAUAAUUAAUUUACCAAUCAAGAUAGUUGUCUAAUACUUUUUAACAUUCCGAUAAUCUAAAUAUUAUUGUUAAACUUUAAUAAAUUAACACAUUUAAUCAAUGAAUGAGUUAAAGAAAACAUUUUUUUUUAGUUCAAUUGUUCUGUCCAAAAUCUUAAUUUUAUCAUAUAACUCAAAUUCAUUGGUUAGAGUUGAUGAAUUUUGUUUGAUUAAUCAUUAGUUCUACAAAUAUUUAAUCAUAUCUAAUAUUCAUUCAACUAGUUUCAUAAGAAAUUAGAUAUCUGAAAUUAAAAUAUAAUAAAUAAUUUGUUAAUUAAUAUGACAAUCUCAUGUUAAAGGAAAUUAUUAUAUUUAUUAUUAAGAAAUUUCUAUCGACAUACAAAGAUAAUAUUAACUAUUAGAAAUUAUCAAUUAAGUAAGUUCAAUGAUGAUAUCUACAUAUACCUCAUUCAUAUAUGUAAUUUAAUAAAUAAGAUAUAUUAAUUUUUAUUCAAUAAAGACCUUUACAUAUAUAUUAAUAUAUUUGAAUUGUUGAUGUUUUAUUUAUAAUAAUUUUACGAUCAAGAAUAAUUUAAAUUAAAACUAUAAAAGAGUCAAAUAAGUGAUUUUUUUUAAUUAUUCUAUCGAACUCAACUCCACCCAACUAAGGGUUGGUUAUGUUGUUAAAAAAAAGAUGAAUCUUACCCAAUUAAAUUUAGUUGAGUUGGAUUAAAAUGUUGACUAAAUUAAACCUAAUCUAACUCACUUACAUUUACAUUCCCAGCGUGUAUAUAAAAUUUACUACAAAUUUAAAAUGAGUAGUUUAAUGUAUAUUUACAUAUUAAUGGGGCAAUGGCAUAUAAUAAGGUAUCCAUACUCGUGUUACUCAUAAUUAAAAAUAAAUUAAAUAUUAUUAUCAUAUAUAAAGUAUGUUACUCUGAUUUUUUAUUUUUAUUUUUAUAGGAGAAUAUUAGUUUGUUAAUUUUAUUAGAAAUAUGGAUUUGAGAUUUGAACUUGGGAUUUUUUCCUCCUCCCCUCAGUUUUAAGCCCCCAUUUCUAACUCCUAUGUGAACCUUAUAUUUCAUUAAUUCAUUUUUAGUAUAAAUAUAUGUUUAUUUUUUUUUUAAUUUCAUUUAUUGUUCACUUCUUUAAAUUUUUAAUAUAUUAACAAAUAUGUAAUGAUACAUCAAUGACUAGUCCAAAUAGUAUUCAACUUAAUUUUUUUAAGUAAGAUUUUAAAUUUAAGGAUGGAAAAAAAAUCAAAUAAUUAAUACCUAAUGAUACUUAUACAAUUCAUAAAUACUUCUUUAAUAAAUAUUUCUAACACCAUGUGAAUACAAAUUAGCGAAAAAUAAUUAAUACUCAUACUUUUCGAUAACCCCGUAAGUAAAACUACAAGACUAACCCUUAAAACGUAAAUAUUAUUGAAGUAGGUUUUACCUCAGCUAGUAAAAUGGUACAUACAACAAGAAAAUCAAAUUUGCCAACAUAUUUAAGAAUGUUUUACCUUAUAUUUGAUACGCUUUUAUUUUACCAGAUUUGCUUGUAAUGUGUUUAUAAUUGUAAGUUUAAUUACUAAUUUGUUUCAUUUACGUGCAUAUUUUUUACAUUUUAGUUUAUACAUCUUCAAAUUACUUGUUUUAAUCUUUACACAUUUUUUAAUAAAUUUUAAUCCUAAUGCUUACGGACACUAAAAUGAAUUAAACAGUAUAUAUGUAAGAACUUUAACAAGUUAAAAUUUUUAAGAUAUAUGUAUAAGAACUAAAACUAAUAGUAGUAACUUUUAGGUAUAAAAGCUAAAAUAAAUGGUUUAUGUAAGUAUAAGAAAUAAAUAAGUAAUUAAACUUAUUGGAAAAAAAGUAAUUAAAAUUAAUUUUGUAAACAGAAAUAUUUAACAGGUUGCUUCGUGCGGCAAAUAUAUUCAAUUAGAGUUUUAUUGCAAUAGGAAUAAGUACACCAAUGUCUACCCACGUGCUCCAAUUCUCCAACUGCUAUCAUCGAGGAAAACCAGAAAAGAUGAAAGAAAAUUCUGUCACCUCCAUCCUUUUAAAGUAUUUUUAUUACCACGUGUUGAAAUUCACGUCUUUCUUCUCUCUCAUCCCUUUCUCUUCUCCCCUUCUAUUUUACGCCCCUCCUCUGUGCUUAGCUCUCUUCACUCUGUUUCCAUUGAGAGGAAAAAAAAAAACAGCAUGAAGAAAAUCCGCAACUCCAUCCUACUCUUAUCAAUCUUUCUGGCAGCCUCGUCGGCGGUUUCAUCCGCGGAGCCGAUUCCUUCCGCCGCCUACGACCGCGUGCUUUUCCCGGACCGCCGAUGCCAGAAGACGGUGUCGGAGAACAAGACGCGACGAGGAUCCUCUGCGGCAGCGGCGGCGGGGUGUGAGGUGUGGAGCGAGUCGUGUUCGGAGGCGGUGCUGAGCGUGGCCCGGCGCGCGGAGACGGCGGAGUGGUUGAAGAAUAUUCGGCGGAAGAUCCACGCGAAUCCGGAGCUGGCGUUUGAGGAAAUCGAGACGAGUCGUUUGAUAAGGGAGGAGUUGGAUCUUAUGGAAGUUAGUUAUCGGUACCCUCUCGCCAAGACCGGUAUUCGAGCCUGGAUCGGCACGGGGGGUCCGCCUUUUGUUGCGAUCAGAGCUGACAUGGACGCACUUCCCAUCCAAGUACUACUAGCUUCUUCCCCUCUCUAGUCCUUAUUAGACUAGUACUACUACUAUUUAUUUAUUUAUUCCUCCAAUUUUUCUCUGUUUUUCAUCAUGCCUUCUUGAAAACCUAAAAUCAAAUAAUAAUAAAAUAAUAUCGGAAUAAGAAAAGGCUCAAUUAUUGGACUUGUUACUUCUUUGAUGUUACAUAAUUACUUUGUUGCCUAAGAAUGUUUAUCCCUAAUGCUAUUUUUCUUAAUUUUUAAUUUAAAAUAAAAAAAACUUAUUUGCUAAAGAAUUAUGGGAAUUUGAUAGUGAUGGAAAGAUUUAUGUUUAAAUGUUUUUAUUUGAUUGCGAAUAAAUUAUAAUUGUAUUUUUUUAGUUGACAGAGUAUACAUCACAAGAUCUUUGAUUUGUCUUUAUCUGUUUCACAUUAAUGAUAAAACUUUAGAUAUAUCUUAUUUAUCUUAUUUAUUUGAAUGUGUCAAUGUGGUAUAAGUAAUAAAAAAUGUUACUUUUUAAGUUUUACAGUAACUUUUGUAUCUUACACAAAUACAAACAAAAAUAAACUGAAUUACUUAUAUAUUUUUGUAAGGGAAGGGGGAAACUUUUUUUUCUUUUGUUGGAGAGAAGGUAUUUCUAUUCUUGAUGUUUUUUUUAGAGAGUAUUAAUCCGUGUUUUAUGUAAUUUUUUGUAGUAUUUUGCUUUUUAUUAAGUUUGUUCAUAGCUUUUUUAAACCAAAAAUAGAAAGCUUCAUAGGUUUUUCCCAUCUACUUUUGCCCUACUUUAUUACUGCUAAAUAUUGAUUCACUUUCUAUGCAUUCAGAAGUGGGAAAAAAAAGCGCUUAACUUUGCACUACAAUAAAGCUCUUAGCUAUAAUAAAUACUCUUUGAUAGUAAAUUGCAAUUUAUUUUUCAUAUAAAACAAAAUUCCAUCUCAUCACUAGUUGGGAUUCGUUGUAGGAAGCUGUGGAAUGGGAGUACAAAUCUAAAGUUGCCGGCAAAAUGCAUGCUUGUGGGCACGACGCACAUGUGGCUAUGCUUAUCGGCGCUGCCAAGAUUUUGAAAACUCGAGAGCAUUUAUUAAAGGUUUGUUCUUCUUCCCUUAUCUUAUUCAACAAAGUAUUCCACUAUUUCGUAGAAUUAAUUUGGGACAGUUCCUCUAUCAUACUUUACAUUUUAAUUUCUUAAUCAGCCACAAUUAACACUUAAGAAUUUUUAUUUAUAAUUACAUAAAUUUAAUUAUUUGUUCAAUUUUCUGAGUAAGAAAACUUAUAUACUUUAGCUUAAUUACAAGGCCAUGAAAUCUAUGAAAUUUGACUGUAAUCUCUUCAAUUAUUGAAUUACGGGAAGGAAUAGAAGCUACUUCACACAUUAUGUUUACCGUUUUUUUACAUUGAUAAAUAGGAACAGAGAGAGACAGAGGAUUCACUUCCUUUUCCAAGCACGGCGCCUCUUUAUAGUGGCAUAACUUUUAUUUUUAUGAAUAUGGCAUAACUUAUUUGAGACGACACUUUGGCCAAAAAGUCAAGUCCGUUACACUUCCUUUGCCUCUUUAGUAGUAAAUCUCAACAAUUCUAUUGCCCUUUUCUGCGGAACACACAAAAUCUAUUACUUUCCGCGGCUUAAGAUAUAUUGCCGCUAUCAGUUAAUGUCUCCCCCAAGGACAGACAAUUGAAAGGUUUAAUCUUAUGAACUCAAUUGGUGGACCAUUUAAACUUGAAUCUGAAAAAAAUGGCCUUCUUUUUGUUUUUAAUUUGGUUCCUUUUAAAAAAAACCCUCAAUGUUUUACAAAUUUUCUUUCAUUUUGUUUUCCUUUCUCCCCUCUCUCAAUUUAUGAAAUGUCAAGAUUUUUAAGGUGUGUUCACGUGUUUUUAUCAACUUGGCGUACCUGUGUGUUUGUAAUAUGUGUUCAAACACACACUAACGUGGUGUUUUUUAUUUAUUUAUUAAUUAGUUAUUUUAAGAAUUUACUUUUUUUGAACUGUUACAACAAAAAAUUUACAUUAUCAAGCCAUCAUAAGUCAUUUUAAAUAUGGCUUUGAGUUUAAGUGAGGUAUAACGUUACCCGAUCUACCCAAUUACACACACACAGUUGCAUGUUUAAUUAUUUUAAAAAUAUAUAUGUAUUGAAGAAAUAAUGCAGGAUGUAUUUUUUUAAUAUUUUGUUGAUAAAUCUGAUUACCAAACUUAAUUUAAUUCAUUUUUUUCAUUAAAUUUAAUUCAUUCUUGAUUAAGUUGCUUUUAUUCAACUUAUGCAUUCAAAAUUAUCUUAACCUAAUUCAAUCUAUUUUGAUUGGUUGCGAUAUUUCUUUGAAAACUUGACCCGACUUGUGAUUUGUCUUAAUAUUUCGAGUAUGAAAUUGACCCUCAGCCAAAGUUAUGAGUACUCCUCAUUCAAAAAAUAAAGUUUUAACUUUUAUGCACUAAUAGUAUAAUUAUUUUUUACAUGAUCAAAUAAUUAAAAAUGAUUUUCGUAAUCCUAUAUGGGCCAGUUUUCCGCCAAUGCCAAACACAACCGAGAUUAGAUAUUAUAUUUUCAUUUCUGAUGAAAAUGGGUACGGAUUUGAUGGUGGUUUUAAGGAAGGAGUGUGAAUCUUAACCUUUGGUCGGGUAAGAAAUUAAAGAGAAAGGUAGAUAAAAAUAAUUAGCCGUGUUUAAAAGAAAAGUUAAGAUGAAAAUAAUUAGAUCUGCCAUAUUAUUUUUGACUUAUUUUCACCCUUUUUUUACACCUCUCUUCAUUUUUCUUCUAAUUCUCUUCAAUUAAAUAUAUUUAACUUUUACUUAUUUUCACUCAUUAUUUUUAUUUUCAUCUAUUCUAUAUCUUUUUUCUCUAUCAAACCCAACCUCAUUGAAAUGCUUUAUAUGACUAUUUUUAUUUAAAAAUUCUCAAAUCUUCUGAAGCAAUGUUCGAUAGUUAUUGUGUGGGAUGUUUUUGGUUUAGAAGAUAAAGUUAAGGAAAUUUCUUUAAAUUAAAGUACACUCUAAAAGAUGUAAGUCGGAAAAAAAAUACAAAAUUCCAAUUCAAAAAUAUUAUUUUCAUCUCAAAAAACACUGUCUCAUUAAUAUAUCUGGUACUCUUUAUGAGCAAAGUUUGCUUUGCCGUGAAUUGGGCCGAGCACGUUCUUUUAAUAGCGCUAGCCUAGGGCAUUUAUCAGUUCAGACCUAGCCUAGGGCCUAGGGGUAUUAAUUCAUAUGCCUUUUCUACGGUUUUAGUAUUUGAAGAGAAGAGAAGUCUUAGUUAUGCAUUAAAAUUAAUCGCAUGCCAUUGCCACUUGCCACUUGUCACAAGUAUAAAGAGGAAGGGAACAAGUUAUUUGAUUAGAAUCUUCCUUUUGGUUUAUUAUAUUUUACUAUUAUUUUAUUUUAAUAUUUUAUAUUUUUAAAAAUUUUAUUUUAAUCUUUCAUAUUUUUAAAAUUUUUAUUUUGAUACAUUAAGUUUUAAAAGUUUUAUUUUGAUUUUUUAUAUUUUUCAAAAUUUUAUUUUGAUCUUUUAUGUUUUAAAAAAAAAUUAUUUGGUCAUUUCUUCUAAUUUUUGUUAGUAAACACAUGUUAGUGUGUUGUUAACUUUAAAUUUUGAAAUUUGAAUUAAUUAAUAUAAAAUAGUGGCAGUUAAAAAUUAUUAUUAUCUUUUUAAAAUGUAUUUAACCACUUACUUUCUUAAUCUUAUGUCAUCUUUUACUACAAAUUUCAUAAUCAUCACAACAUAAACAAUGUAAUAAUAGUGUACUCAAAUGUACAAUAUCUCGAUCACCGUAGUCAUUAUGAAUAAGUGUUAUGUCAUAAAUACGUCAUGAUUUAACACCAACAUAGAUUAGAAACAUUAGAUCUCGAUGACGAUGAAAAAAUUUAGAUUUGAUGUCGCGAUAACAAUUUUAGGUCUUUCUUCAAUUUUAUCAUAUUAUUUUAAAUUAAUUAUUUAAAAAUUAAUAGAAUAAUAACGUUUUAUUGAAAAAAAUGAGAAGAAAAGAUUAAAAUGAAUCUUUGAAAACAUAAAAGUUAAAAAUAAAAAUUUUAAAAUUAAAUAUACUAAAAUAAAACUUUUAAAAUAUAAAUAAUCAAAAUAAAACUUUUAAAAUUAAAUAUAACAAAAUAAAAAAUACUAAAAUUUAAUAAAUCAAAAGUAACAUUUUUAUUACUAUGGUAGGGGCCACUGGUAGGGGGUAAGCCAACGAACGGGUGGGGAAUCUUGUCUACGGUCGGGUCUACCAUAUCCACAUGCACAUGCACUAUCUUUAGAACUUACACAAAACACACAAAAAGGCUAAAGUUUAAGUUGACUGUCAGAUGAGAGGAAUCUUGCUACUACUGGCGAGCGUAGAUUGUCAUUUAAGUAAAAGUUAAUCUUUAUUUUUCGUGUAACCUAAAAUCAAUAAUACCGUACUCAAAUACACUAGUAUUACAUUUUCUUAGGUGUGUGGAUCAUUUCAUUCACAAAUGAUAAGCACUAUUAUUAAUAUAUUUCUAUUUGUAAAUAUUGCUUCAAAUUUAUUGAGUUUAUUUCUUGAUUUUAUACAUUUUCUAGUGUGUUAGAAGAGUGUGAUAAUAAGUUUAUUACAAGUACUUCUCUCAACAAAAUGCCAAAAUCUAAGAAAAGCAACAAUUAUGUAUUUUUAUAUAUUUGUAUAAUAUUUUUUUCUUUUUUAAGUUUUCUCUUUCUUUUUUCUUUUUAUGAUAUUAUAUUACAUCACUUACCAUUUCUUUUAAUUAUGUAUUUUUAUAUAUUUGUAUAAUAUUUUUUUCUUUUUUAAGUUUUCUCUUUCUUUUUUCUUUUUAUGAUAUUAUAUUACAUCACUUACCAUUUCUUUUAUUUUUAAUUAUCUUUUUCUUCUUCUACUUCUACACUGCAAAAAUGACCAGUACAAAAAUUUUUCAUAGUGAGAAAAUGGAACUUCCUUUCAUUUAGACGCGGGAAGAAAACAGUAAAAAAAAGAAGAGUAUGUGCCGAAGUCAUGUAAAAGUUUUUUUUUCGACGAAAAUAAAAUAGAGAAGAGCAAAAAAAUAAAUAAUUGAAAAGAAAAAUUCACUUCCCCAUUGUUAUACUAAAAGUAAAAUGAUACAUAUUCAUUUAUUAUAUAAUUUCAAUUUUUUUUCUUUUCACUUUUCUUAUUAAUUAAAGAAGGAAGAUUUUUUUUUCUUUUUAUCUAAAUAAAAAAUAAAAAAUAAAAAAUUUGACCUUUUUUUUUUCUUUUCAUUUUUAUGUAUCCAAAACAAGCAGAAGAGUUCUCUACACUUCUGUUAACUACAGAGUUCAUUCUUAAUAGAGCUGUGGAUUAACGGGCAGUGACUCAAACUUACCAUAACCAUCUGGUGAAGAGAAAAAACACUGGCAGGGAACUCCACAUUCUUGUUCUUGUACAAUAUUCUAAAUGCAAUCUUAAGUGUCUAUCUCAUUGAGAUGCGGAGACUAAUAUAUACGUAGAUAAUGAGUUUUUAUAUAGAGUUGUUCAAUUAUAAAUACUGUUUGAAUUGUUUUAAAAUAAUUAUUUGUCAAUAAAUUUAUCAUUCAUGAUGAAUUAUAAUUCAUGAUGAAUUAUAAUUAAUGAGGAUAAAACUUUUUUACACUAAGGUGGAUAACCCUUUUUCUCUUUUAGAUAAAACACAAAAUUUAACGUACUAAGUAAAAAUUUUGAAAAGUUAUAGGGUCUAGGAAGAUUUGUCGUUUAAUACUAAAUAAAAUAACAAAUUUAUGAAGACUAUUGUGAUUUCAAUUUCAAUGCAAAUAAACCUGUUGACCUUGAUAAGUUUCAUUAUUGGGAAUAAUGGGUUUACACUUGUCAUAAAUUGAACUCUACUUAUGUCCAACCAGGCUUAGUAGUAAUCUUAACAAGAACAAUGUCUUAUGUCUAAUAAGUGAUAACCUUGUUUUGUCCAUAACAGGGAACUGUAAUUCUGUUAUUCCAGCCAGCAGAGGAAGCUGGUAAUGGAGCAAAACGAAUGAUGCAAGACGGUGCUUUGGAGGACGUUGAGGCUAUAUUUGCAGCUCAUGUAUCCCAUGAGCAUCCAACUGGUAUAAUUGGAUCCAGGCGUGGACCCCUCCUUGCAGGUUGUGGAUUUUUCAGAGCUGUCAUUAGUGGCAAAAAGGGCCUUGCUGCCGAUCCUCAUCGUUCUGUUGAUCCAGUUUUGGCUGCUUCAGCUGCAGUUAUUAGCUUACAGGGUAUUGUCUCCCGCGAAGCAAAUCCAUUGGAUUCUCAGGUUUUGCUUCAUAUCAAUAUACCUUCUUUUCAAAAUUUCAAUCCCUGUUUGUGUGUCUUUUUGUUGCAUACCUUCUCUGACUAAGUACAUGGCUCCCUUUACAACUUUAGGUUGUCUCUGUGACUUCGUUUAAUGGAGGCAACAAGCUUGACAUGAUACCCGACACAGUGGUCCUAUUGGGGACUUUCAGAGCGUUCUCUAACACCAGCUUUUACCAGCUACUUGAAAGAAUAGAGCAGGUUCCCAACUACCUCAUUUUUAUCAUGCUUAAUUGAACUUUUGGUCCUUUAAUUAUCAUUGUUUCUCGAAUUUGGUUUCUCAUUUUUUCUUUCGAAUUUAAUCCUUGUAAUGUUUUAUUUAUACAAUUUUGGGCCAUCUAUUAAUUUGACAUCUAAUAUUUAACAAAAAUACUAACAUUGGCAGUAGAAUGCUGAUACGGAUGCGCUGACAUGAAUGUGGAGUGUCAAGUUAGCAUUUCUGUUAAAUACUAAAUGUCAAGUUAUCAAAUGCAUCAAAAUUGCAUAAUUGAAACAGUGAGGAUCAAAUUUUCAAAAAACAGAAAUCUGGAGACACCAAAUUUGAUAAAUGAGAGGCUCAAAGUGAAAUUAAGUCUUACUAUUAUUAAAGUGAACUGAACGUAAAUGACUGAAUGAGUUUAACUUGAAUCCUGUUGUUUCCCCAAAUAGGUGAUUGUGGAACAGACUAGUGUCUACAGAUGCUUGGCAGAAGUUGACUUCUUUGAAAAGGAGUACACUAUUUACCCUCCCACAGUUAAUGAUGACCGAAUGUAUGAGCAUGUGAAGAAGGUGUCCAUUGAUUUGCUGGGUCACAAGAAUUUCAGGGUAGUUCCACCUAUGAUGGGUGCUGAAGAUUUCUCUUUCUACUCCGAGAUGGUUCCCUCAGCUUUCUUCUACAUAGGAGUAAGGAAUGAAACAUUGGGGUCUACUCAUACGGGACAUUCUCCAUAUUUCAUGAUUGAUGAAGACGUUCUACCAAUAGGUGCUGCUGCUCAUGCUAGUAUUGCAGAGAGGUACCUCAUUGAGCAUGGUUGAUGUUGGAAGAUAGUUAAAAGAGCUCUGCUCUUGUUGUCACGUCUUCUCAACUUCGUACAAAAUUGGUACACGAGUUCACCCGUCCUCCCCAUGUUUCUCACAUGAGUAAAUUCUCACUUUAGUUCGUGAUAUAUUGUAAGUGUUUGUCACUUUAGUUAUGAAGUUAAUAAAAUCUUUACUUUAGUCUCUACCUUUAUUAAAUGCCAUUAACUGUAGCUCUUUUUUACAUUUAAGCUACAUUUACUUUAGUCUUUAAUAAUAACGUGAAUACAGUAUAUUAAACAAACUAUAGUAAAUAACAUUUUACAAAAGAUAAAAGACUAAAUUAAAGAUUUUGAUAGUAAAGGAUUAAAAUACCAAACACUUAAAAUUUAAGAGACUAAAAUAGAAAUUUACUCUCCCUAUAUUCAUUUGUUGCUUGAUGUUAAGGAACAGUAGAGACCAGAUUAUCUUUUUAUCCUGUUGAGAGUAGGCUCAGAAUAAAAAGGGAAGCGCCAAAAUUUGUUCUAAGGUGGUUUGAAACCUGUUUAUUUUUCUGGAUGCAAGGCAAAUGUCCAAGUGUAUAAAGUAUAAACAUGCCAAUACCAUAAGUAUUAAAUAAUAACUUAAUUUGAGUAAAUCCUCGUAUAGUUAACUUAUUCUUAACGAAACCAAUCGUAUAAGCACGUCUUAUUAAUAAGAGAAGGCUUUUACCAGCUAAUAUAAACUGCAAUGCCCACGCCCUAAAUAUAUAAAAGGGUAAACGAAGGAACGGAGGCUAUGAAAUUUGGAUAUAAUUUUGAAAUUUGACCGGCUAGUUUUAUACAAACAUGCAAUAACGAUGGCUUCUAGAUUAUAUAAUCAAAUUCGAUCUUAAUAAUCCACCGUGAGAUCCAUUGUUACAAAAUUAAGUCACUGUCCUAAAGUAUCAAAAACGCCGUUAUGUGUCAAACUCAUGGAAACCAUGCACCGAUCAUAUCCUCCACUGCAUGUUUUACGCCCAUUUACUUUAUCAUAAACAGUAAAGGCAAAAGGAGUAUAAACAUUUACUUCCCAGAAUGCACCUUGAUUUCAGCACCAACAGAGUUACAGUACGAAAUAUUCUGCAGGUGAGUGCACACUUUCAUUCAUACAAUGGGUUGACAAUCCACACGUAAAGUUACAAUUAACACCAAAAACAACGGCCAAGUCUUUUUCUAUUAUGUCCUUAAAUAUAUUAAAUCAAACGAGGCCAUAAUAUUUUAUUAUGAAUGUCUCUCUAUACACAAACCUCCAUGUCCCUCUUAAACAAUUUACAAUAACCAAAAUCCAGCAGAUACUGGUAUUAUAAACUCUUCAACCUUCUACAUGAACAACGCCCUACAUAAUCAGAGAACUUCACCUCUUCUCUCCACACAAACAUCUGGCAGCUUGCAGAGCAGAAUAUGUGAGGAUGAUAUCAGCACCGGCCCUUCGGAGGCACAUCAGUGACUCCAUCAUAACCUUUUCUUCGUCUAUCAUUUUGAGAGCACCGGCAGCCUUUAUCAUUGCAUAUUCACCAGAAACCUGUUCCACCAAUUAAGAAUUAUUAUGAAAAGGACGGGGAAAAUGAUAAAGCAAAACAAACUUGUUUUUAAACUAUUCACAUAAAAGUAUGCUGAAGUUUCCUUUUAUUUCCAGCUUUAAAAGCAUAAUAACUUAGGAUAUCACUAUCAAGCAUCACCGCAUUCAUGAAAUCUUUGAUGAAUAUUCAUAUGUUGAAACUGGCUUCCAUUCUACACCAACUGUUUUUGUAUUUUCUGUUUUCAUACAUCUUCCACUGUCUAGACAAAGCUCCAGACCCCAGAGAGAGUCAGGCGAAGAGGUAGUAAAAGUUGGACAAUCUUUUCAGAACACGUAGAAUAAAGUAAUUUAUAAUUAAUAAACUACUAAACUAGCAAAUCAAAUAAAUUUCUUCUUCAACUUCAUAUCAAUAUAGCCUCUGUGCAUUUCAUUAGUGGACAGUUAAAAAUUUAAUUAACAGCGCAGGGAGUUCAUAUUCCCAAAUUGCAAGACUUAAGGGCCACAUAUAUAAUGACUGUUACAGAAACAUAUUUCCAUUCAAUCCUUUUUUAAAAGAAUUGGGUUAGAAUUUGAUGCCAUGUAAUAGCAUAUCGACCUAAGAGCAAUAACUGUUAAAGCAACCAUAUAUAUAUAUUUUUUUUAACUAUGAACCCAAAUAUAUACCAUGUUAUCUGUUAAAGAGUUAUUAUACAGGAAUCCCUUCUAAAAUGGACAUCGCACUACCUCUUAUGAAAAAAGAGUAACCUAAGUGCAAGCACCCCAACAAUAAAGGUGUGAUUUUGUCUACUAUAUAGACUUCGGUCACUUGCAGCAAGCUUAAAGCAGAAUUCACUGGUUAAAAUGUAUUGAAUAUUUGAUCAACUUUUUUAUCAGAAACAUUUUUCCUAGUGCUAGAAUGGGCAAAGAAAAGAACCUGGUAUGCUGCAAUUGGCAAAGGAGAAUUAUCCCUGAGCAGCCUUAUGAUAUCCAAGUAAGGAAGACCAGGCUUCACCUGCAAAUCCAUUUUUUUACAAGUUUGUAAAAGAAAACAGUAUAGAUAAAGAGAAAAAAAAAAGCACAAGAUUAUAAUCAAAGAUCAUGCACGUGCACACACACACACACAUAAAAAGGGAACCAACCAAGAGAAUGUCAGCUCCUUCAGAUUCAUCCUCCCGCAUCUCAGUCAGAGCCUCUCUGUAAUUAGCUGGGUUCAUCUGAUAACUUUUGUUCAGCCAGGCCAGAUUAAUGAGCAAACCAACAAUCAAUAAUGUAAAACUGAUUACGUAUAUAAUAGUAAGUUCAAUUUCAAGAUGACACAUACGUUUUCUUGUCUCCAAACCGGGGGUUUGAGUCUAGUGCCUCUCUAAAUGGACCAUAAAAAGAACUUGCAUACCUGUUGGCAAUAGAUAAAUGGCAUUGUUUAGGACCAUAUUAUAUACAAGACUCAAAAAGGAGGUGUAUGAAGCUUAAUAACAACAUCCACCAAUCCAUCUUUUUUAAGUAUAAUUUAUAUUCUUAUAGUAUUGUUCAUCAAGGAAUAAAUUCGGUAACAAGUAACAGUUGGCAAAAAAAAUAAAAUAGUGAGAUAGUUCAUGGCAGCAAGAAGAUGCAUGUCUAAAGGAAUUUGAAUGCUCAUAACUAUGAUAGUAAGGAAGAUAAAAUUGCUUAUAAGUUGGAUGAGAAAGAAACCAACUUGUUCACAAUGGAACUGUUCCACAUAAAAAAUGAAUCAAUAUGCCACACAUUUUGGAUCUCCUUAAUAUGCCGUGAUAGAACAUAGAUAUCCAUUGAUACUAACUCUAGAUCCCACAUAAACACAUUCUUGUAAGUUAUAACAGAUCAACGAAAAAUAAUGCUACAUCCUUAGUUAUUUUGAGUUCCAAUUUUCAAAUGAUCUUUUUCUUUUCAUUGGAGAUAUUUCUAAAUUUUGGAUGCAUCUACAUAUCUCCAUCACUGACUAAAUCUUCAGUAAUUUCCAAUGCAAGCUGGCAUAAACAGAAAAAGAGAUAAGAAAAAGAAAUGGCAAGUAAAAAACUUACUUUGCUGUAUAGGACAUUAUAGAAACAUGCUGAAAGCCUUCAGCAUCCAGAGCUGCACGCAGUGCUCCUACCCGACCAUCCAUCAUAUCACUAGGACUGACAACAUCUGCUCCAGCUUGGGCCUUUUUGUAAAUUAAAGAGACAAAAAAAAUGUUAGUGGUGUUAUAGAGAAGUGUAGCAAGGAAACCUUAGAGAUCGGGAACAUAAAAGCAUAUUUCCUCAGUAUACUCAACCAUUAAUUUCCCUAAAACUCAUGGCAAAAAAUUUACUUGCUGAUAACUACAAUAAAGCAUCAGUUUUUUCAUCUGGGAGUUGAGACACCAUGUUGAACCCAUUAUUACAUGAAACAAAAUACAUCCACAAACAAAGGAAACUUAUUUGAAAGUAAAUGAACAUUUCAAGGCCAUACUGAAGGUGAUCAAUAUGUUCAGUAAAUCUUAAAAAAAUAAUUGGUAACUGCCUACAGUUGAAAAUGUUUAUAGAAGACAGUCAUAUGACCUGGGCUACAGCUUGUUUACAUAGCUGAUGAACUGUCUCAUCAUUCAUAAUAACUCCUGCAGAAUAUGAAGGAUAUAUAAUGUAAUUAGUACUCAAUUGACAUUAAUCAAGAAGGACCACUUCUUUCAAAGUUUUGCAGAAUAGCUCCUACUCUUUUCCCAACCAAAGGUGUUUCAGGAAGCAAAUAGAGCCACAGACUACAUAGUGAAUUGAUGGCAAUUUUUUUUAGGAAAAAAUAUUUUUGUUCUUGAAUAGUACAAUUACAAAUUUAGAAUAAAGAACAAACUGAACAUAUUCAACAAGUACUAAACUAAACCUAGAAGUUAAAAACAUGGCAAAGGUGAGAAUGCUGAUUCCAUUCCAGCCUCUUUCAUGGUACUUAGGCUUUUUGAGCCAUCCAUAAUCCAAUAAAACUUAAACUUCGUACCCCAUUGCCCGGAGGCUCUUCGCUAUGCGAAGGUAUGGGGGAGGGAUGUUGUACGCAGCCUUACCCUUGUAUAUGCAAAGAGACUGUUUCCGGAUUCGAACCCAUGACCAACAAGUCACCAAGGCACAACUUUACCGCUGCACCAGGGCUCGCCCUCCCAUCCAUAAUCCAAUAUCCUUAAAAAAUCUUGCUAGGUCUGAAGCAAGAGGAAUUGGUGCAAGAAUAGCAAUUUGAGACUUUUGCAGGACCACUUCUCUUUAUAAAGCAAGAUCUCCUUUAUCCAUGCUUCAAAUUCACGAAGCAUUUCUUAUGAAUUAAGUCAAUGAAUCAUGUUCAGUAAGACAUAUGUGCCUCCAUGUUUGGAGGUCAGGAUGUGAGAAAUAACAACAUAGAUUCAAAUAUAAAGAGAAUCAACUAUAAAAACCUAUACUUCUGCAUUUUUCUCAAGAGAUUUCCAACUUUGAGUAUAAAAGACAAAUUUGAUAGCAUACCAUCUUCUCUAACUAUGCCAUCAUGCCCAUCUGAUGAAUAAGGAUCUAAUGCAACAUCUGUAUAGAUAACCUGAAGAAAGAUUGAAUGAGAAAGGUUAUUGGCUUAACUUUCUUUAUGCACCAGAAAAUAUAAUAUCCACAAACUAUGGAAAUUAUGUUCACUUACAAGGUCUGGGUACUUAUCCUUGAGCAAACGUAUUGUUCGAGGCACUAAACCAUUUUCAUUGUAUGCUUCAUCUCCUGUGGGAGACUAAAGGGGGAAAUCUGUUAUACUAGAUUGCACUGCAGUUAUCUUACUGAAAGCCUAUAGUAUGCAGGAGAGAGAAUAGAACCUUCAAAGCAUCUGGAAUUUUGGGGAAGAGCACAACACUAUUAACACCAACAUCCCGUGCUUUUGCAACCUGAAGCACAAAAUGCCCCUUGAAAAUUACUAAACUUUAAUGAGUUAUACAAGAUAUAGUCAGAAUAACAUCACCAUCACCAUCACCCACACAGUUUAGGAAUAUAAAAAAGAAAAAACCUGCCAGCUUCCCCCAGCAUAGCAUGAUUCAAACAGGUCAGAUACUAAAGGAACAAUAAAAUCUGGCAAAACUCCUUGAUCAAAUUGAAAGAACAUCAAACUUCUAAUGAGUAGCUAAAAUAAUACUCAAAACAAUGAAGCUGAUCCAUAAACAUAUACACAACAACAACAGAGUCUUUUCCCACGAGAUGGGUCAGCUACAUGGAAUCAUGGAGGAUAGCUACAUAGAUCAUACGGUGCCGUAAAUUUGUCUUGUAUCAAGUACAAAGAUAAACAAUUUACCUCUAGAUCACUCUUAAUAGGUUGACCUAUAGUUCUAAAUCAUAAAAGUAGUAAAGUACAUAAAAAUAUUUUUAUAUUGAUUAUCAUAGAAGUGACAUGAAAGCAAAAGGAAAUAGUUGAGACAUAUUGGAACAAAAUUAUGCAAAAGAAAGUCUAAAAAAUCCCCAAUUAAACAUACCCAUCUUAUAGCAGUAGACAGACAUCACUAACCCCAGAUUCACUAUUACUUUUGAACGUUUUGAUUUUGUUAACUUGUGAUUCACUCUACUACACAUUUCUAAAAUUUCACUCACUUUAUAACUUGAUGCAAACAAGGAACUCAUUUAAGCCAUGCAUGAGAGUAUGAGACACAUAAACAGUAGCAGAUAAUAACCUCUUCUACAAGUCCAUGCCUCCACCCAAGCCUGUAGCAUCCAGGCAUAGCCCCAAUUGGAGUAUCCUCUUCACCUGCAAGUUCAAACUCAAAUGUUCUCAUGAUCCAAAAUCAAAUAAUCAAGAGCAUAUUAUACAACCUAGUAGUGCCAACAAAUGAAAAUUAGUAUACCCCAAUUCUAAUAUCUAAUAUUGUACUAGUCAUCGCCUCAGUCCAAGACUUCUUUAAAUUCUCACUUUAGUAUUUGAUCACUAAAACUCAGCUCUUCUUAGUAUUUAUAAUUAAAAAUGACAGUGAAAAUGAAAUUAAAAAAAAAAAAAACUUUUUGUAAAAUAAAUAAUUAAAAUUCUCAGUCCUUGACCUUUAAAAGUUCUCACUUUCUCUGAUAUUGUAAAGCUUGGUUACUUCUGUUUAGCAAUUUUAGUGCAAAAAGACAGUGAGAAAAGAAACAGUGUUUAACUCAAAAUGCACAUAAGUAAUAAGCGCUAAGUUCUAAGAAAGCAACACGUGCAAAGAGACCAACCUUCGUGAAUGAAAAGCGGAUACACGAAAUUCGCCGGCGAAAUGCUCGUUUCCUGAAAAGCCGACCGAAGCGCCGGCGACUUCCGGUUCCGACGAGGACGCCGGUGAAGUGGCUGACACAAAAUCAAACAAACGAAACCAAACCAAUCAAACCAUUGCUAAGCCAAGCGUAGUUAGUUAGCAGCAAUGCAAAUCAAGCCACGAGAAACUCACAAGUGAAGGAACCACCGGUGUUCCAACCGGAGCCGCCGGUCUGGGCGGCACGGGAGGCGCCGGCGGAACCUUACCGGCGACAACGGCGGCUUCGAACUCCGAAUCGGAGGCUCUGACGACGAAAAGGCGUUGGGAGCGAGGAAUUUUGGCAGCUUGAGGAGAAGAAAAGUUGAAGGUCCUCAGUGGCGCUCUGAGACCAACGUAGCUCUGAGAAUUGAACGCAGAAGGCGCAUUAGGGAUUGAAGAAGCCAUUGCCAUUGAUUGAUUAUAGAAUGGGGUGGGAAAUGAAAGAAGAAAAGGUUAAUAGGAUUGAGGGAGAAUACGGAGAACCAAUGAGAAGAGAGUCGCAGGAAGAGGAUAAGUGAGGAUGUAUGCACAGGAUUCAAUACUUUACCAAUCAGCUUCAGCUACGUCACAGUCAAUUUUCUAUAUGUGGUUUUCUUUGCAUAUUUUUAUUUAUGAACUGCACCGCUUGCUUAUUUCUAACUUUCUUCUUAACCUAAUUCCGUGUUCGACAAGCGAUAUACGUAUCUGUCGUUAUUACAACUUACAAGUCUCAAUGUUUUGGGCUUCUAAAUGGGCUCAUAACAAGUGAAGAGGCCCAUUUGAACAAAGUUCUCUUCCUGCUCCACAGAACCGAGGCAAAUCGUAGAGCAGGGAUAUGAUAGAAACAACAAAUAGAUCAUUUCUGCGAUUAACACAGUAAAACUAGUGAAAUAUAUAACAAUUAAAUGAUAGAAACCGCUACAUACGAUUAUAGGGCGCCACCACUCUGUUCAUUAUUUAUUUGUAAAUUAACAUUAAUUAAAUAUAUAACUGAAGGAUAUAAGAAGCGUGAUAAUAUUAAUCUAUAACUAUUAUUAUAAGGGGAAUAACUCCACUUAGUGUCCACUUAUUUUUCAACAUUUUUAUCCCGACUAUUAAAAAUUAAUAAUCAUCACAUUAUUUUAUUUUAACUUUCAAGUCCAAUCUAGGCAUAAAGUAUUUUAUUUUAUCCAUGAGAAUCAAAGACCAAUAUAUCAGAAGUUCAUAACAAUUCAUUACUUUACUCAAUCAACUUAAGUGUAUAUUUUACAUAGUAUAUUAUAAUGUUUAUGUAAGUGGUUAGGGGUGCAUGUGGGAGGUAUAGUUUGAUUUCAGUUUGUUGGAUUUAAUUAUUCUUUUAACACUUCUGUAUGAUUUUGACUAUUUAAAAAAAUGAACUAAACCAAACCAAUCAAACCACUUUAAAGAAACAGAUGGGUUUGGAUUGAUUUAUUUUCAUAAAGAAGUUUGGUUUAACUUUUUUCUCCAAUAUUUAGUUUUUAAAUGAUUUGGUCCGAUUAGAUUUUCUUAUACAAACCUAAAAUCUUUAUUUUAAAAUUUUGAAUUUGAUUUCACUCAAAUCAAUAACAUUUUAUAUGAUUUAAAAAGUGGAUUAAGUAAAGAUUUGAGUUUGAAGAGUGUCAAACAAAAAAUUGUGAUUUAGAAAAAAUAUUCCAUUUGGAUUGUUUUAGUUUGAAAGACGAAAAUGAAAUAUAUAAGAUGAUAAUAAUCCUGUCAUUUUGAUACAACUAAUUCACAAGAGAAUUAAUCUUAAAUUAAGUAGAUCCAUCAAACUAUUUUUUAUAUAUUUUUACGCAUCUCACUGUCUCUCUACUCUUCCAUUCUUUAUUUUUCUUCAACCAAACACCUAUAAUCUUUAAUUUAUUUUUCAUCUAUUUUUACUAUUUCUAUCUAUCUUAUUUCUCUCUUCUCUGGAGCCUUAAAGAUUGCGAGUUAGAUUCUUUUGUGAAAAUUAACCACUAAAAGAGGAAGGCAAUUAAAGAAAUGUUGAAUGGAGACACAUCCAUGAGUGAUUCAUAUUUGACGAUAAAUUUUGGAGAAAUGGACAAGUUCUCUUCUCAAGUUUUCAAAUCAAAUGGAUUUCAAUUUAACUAUUCAACGCCAACCCAACAAAUAGCAAGGGCUGCUAGGCUCAAGUCCAUUUGAUAAGGCCGAAGAGGAGAUCAUAUAUUUUGGCUGGAUGCCAACACUUUAAUAUUUAAUUUAAAGAAGCUAGAUGGAAUGCAUUUGACAAAUUGGUGGUACAGACUCAUUCUGAUUCAAGGACCCAGAUUAUAAUUACAAUAAUUAAUAAAAAUAUUCAAAUUCGCAAAAGGGGUUUAGUUAUUUUGGUUUAGCAAAUUAUUGGAUAAUUUUGUUUAAACUUAAAAUAAAUAAUUUUAAAAAGUAACUUUUUUUUAGAAAUAGUUAGGAUUUGUUUCUUAAAAAAAUAAGCAGAGAAAAAAAAAAUAGAUAAACAUAUUAAAUAAGGAAAAACUGCUUAUUUUAUAAAAAAAAUAUGUUUUUAAAAAAAUAAUCUUAAACAAACAGACCAUUGUAAACUUUCUGUAGUGAAAUUUAACUGACAAUUGUUAAACAUACCUUCUUAAUUUGUUAAAUAUACCCAUUCUUUAUUUAUAAUUUUUUUCCUUCUAAACUACCCCUUUCCGGAAUCUAGUUUCUAGAAGUCUAUCAAUUCCGUAAAUUAAAUUCCAAAGGCAUAAUUGGAAAACACUAUCUUGUUCUUCCUACAGAAUCUAAUCCUUAUAAACUCAUGCACAGAGAAGACUCUUAAGAAAGCUGUCCUCGCACCCUUAAGAGAAGCCCCUGUUACAUGGAAGUACCUCGCAAUUCGUUGAUUAGUUACAUCAAUGGAUAUCUAACUUGUUUAUCUAAAAUUAAUUAUAUACUUGGAAGUUUUUUAUUUUUUAUCUAUAAAAAUACUUUUCUAAAUAUUUCCUCUCUGAAUUUCCCCUCUAGCUCUCUCUAUUUUUUUUUUCUCUAUCUCUGUUAUCUAAAUUUGUUUGUCUCUAGACUUAAUUUUCUUUCACUUUAACUCUAUAAAUUAUAGGCUUAAUUUGUAUUUUUUUACUCCAAACUUUUUUUUUUUAAUUUUACACCAACAAAUUAAUUUGACGUAUGUUACCUCUAAAUUUUUAAAAAACUUAUGAAUUUUACCUUGUUUUGCGACACGAGAUGUUAAAAUAUUUAUAUUUUUAUCCCCAAUUUUUUCCUUUUUCACAAUUUUUAUUCCUAAUUUUUCUUUUUUGACAAAUUUUACAUCCAAAUUUUAUGCUGCCAUGUUAGCUCAACAAAUGAAAGUAAAUUUUGCAAUUUUUUAAGAGUUAGAAGUAAAAUACCUCAACUUAAUUUAUUGAGAAUAAAAUUCAUAAAAAUAAUAAUAAUAAUAAAUACAAUUAGUCCUUCCUACUAUAUCCACGAUAUUUUUACAUUCGGAGCCGCAAUGACCAUUAGACAUAUCACCAGGAAAAGAAGGAUUGAAGGAACAUAUAUGUGAAACAUUUGAAAAGAAUUGGGCAGUACAACUUUCGACACAUCUAAAGUGGAAUGAUCAAUGUGAUAGAGAAGAAAAAAAGAACAAACUCUCAAAUGUACAAACGACAUCUGAAGAAGGGACUCAAAUACUUUUUUAAUCAUUUAUAAUCCAAUUGAGUUAGGAGAAAUCGGUGGAUGAUUGACCAUUCGUCAAUUAAAACAAUUCGUCUAAUUCAUUUAAUUUUGUCUUCAUAAAAAAAUUGAAUAAAUUUGAAGUAUGGAUAUGGAUUGAUUAAGUCAUGGAUACAUAAAUCAUUUUGUCACCUUUAUUGAGUGAUGAAAAUAUUAUUAGCAUGCGACUCGUUUUUAUUUUUAUAAGCAAAAGGGUUACUAUUUUUUUAAUAUAGCAAGUGUUGAAAGUCAAUUCCAAGAAUAUUUUUCUAUAUCACCCAAAUUCAAACCAAUUGCUCAUCUUCCUUACAAAAGAUUCCGGACCUAUGAUUAACCAUCAUCCCGUUGUAUAUCCCACGAAAUCAGACCUAAGCUUCUCUCCACUGGAAAAGACUUUAAAAGACCAUUACAUAAACUUAGAUUUGCCAUUCUGACGUUAGAGAAAGUUUAAGCUAGCUGCAGGGUCAUAAAACAGCUACAAACACUCAUUUAAAUAAUCGUCAUAAAUUGCGUCUAGAUGUUUCUUUGUUUUUGGGUUGAUGCUUCUAGAUGAGUUUUUAUGCUUCAUUCAAAAAAAAAAAAAAACUUGGCCUUUUCUUUAGGCAUUUAAUUUAUUAUUCUGUGUGGCGUGUGUUGCCAAAACAUAGAGUCCUUUAGAAACACGCUAAUGGGACUGUCUAAAAUACAUGAGCAAUAAAAUUCAAAAGGAAAAAGGAAACAUAAACAAAAAAUUUACCACAAGAAGAGUUGGGGGAGGUAAAAUCAGGAAACGAAGUAAAAUGAUUGUGGAUGAUAGUGAUGUGAUCUGACGGUUCAUGUGCUACCACGUUAGAAUUCUGUCCCCAGUGUCAGACGAUAAUUAGGUCUACCCAUGAAAGGAACGAACACGUGGCAGACAGCAAUUGGGUCCGACACUCAAGUGGUGAAAAAAGGAUUUUGAACAAACUGACUGAGCCCUAAAGGAAAAACUUUCUGCUUUGGACACCCUCGAUGGGAACAGAUUCCAAAUAUUGGGAAAUCUAUAUCACAAGAGAGGAAUGGGUUUUUGGGAUCCCACAAAAGAUUAUAUUUGCUUGGACCCACUCAAGAUUUCAAAUUUUGCUCCGUGGGACCCUGUUUUGGUCCCAACUCCCAGCCUUUUAUUUAUCUCUUUGUCCCCUUUACCCUUUACUAUACAAACAUUAAUGGGUAAUCUUUGUAUUAAUGUAAUAUGCAUUCCCAUGACAUUCUUGUAUGUAUAGUGGUCCCCUCUAUUAUUUUGAUUUCAGUUUUCUUGGUUAGACCUUCAAUUCUGGAAUUUCUAAUAAUAAUCUUGGUGGAUUGUGUGAUGUGACUUGUUGUUUACCCAAAGUUAAUAAUUAAAGCAGAUGAAAGGUUUAUUUCCAUGUUUUUACUCUUCCCAAUUCGAAUUGGAGAUUGACUACAAACAAAUGUUUGAAUUCAGGUCUCUUGAGCGAUGUCGACAUUGCGUCCAAUUUCAGGUAAGCUCACAUCUAUUUUGUGAUAUUCGGUGGGAUUUCAUGAAGAUCUUGUUAUUGUUGUUUGUGUAAAUUUGGGUGCAAAGUAGCUAACAACAUUAAUUAGAUUAGGCUAUCAUACUAGUAAGCAAAAAAUCACACAUAAAAAAGAUGAAAUAUCGCAAUAAUCACCUAGAUUUGAAGCAAUGAAGCUAUUAAGAAUAGGAUUACAUAGAAUCUUAAUUGACCUGAAAAUUGCUUGUUUAUUCAAGUUGAUUUCAAACAUAUCUUAUUUCUUAUAGUUUAUUCGAUAUUUUCGUGCCCGACAGAAUGAGUUUGUCAUGUAUAACGAGUUGAUGGGCUUGAGCAUGUGAAUAUAUUUAACACCAAAAAUGCAAUUUCGUCACUUUUUUUUUAUAUAAGAAACAGAUAUAGAGACACAAAAAUUAUCAGUGCCAAACGUCACAAUAUAAAAAGAGAUCAGUGGCCCAAAAUCAUUUAGGUUACAUGAAAUGAUAGUGGAAUAUUUUCAUUAAUUAACUGAAUUUCCACAAACUUUUUGAAAAAAAAAAACUGCAACAAAUGGUCUUUUUUCUUUUUGUAACAAAAUGAUGAUAAUAAAAUGGUUCUAUUAAAUUAGGGGUCACAUCCUACAUUCCCCAGCGAAAUGUUAGGCUAAAGUAAAGUAGGCUGAGGUAAGAUUAUCCGUUAGUUGGAGGAAAGUCUCCAAAAUGAUCUUACCCAAUGCAUGCACUUUAGAUUUUACACACAGCACUGUGUAUUUUACAAUGGCAAGAAUAUUAAAAUAAGGCAAAAGCGAACAAAAAUAAAACCCCACUCAUUGCCCCAGGAAAAUUAAUAUAUGUAGUUGAGAAAAUUAAGAGGAAAGUAAUGGCGGUUUAAUUAGUUAGGAAAGAAGGGUUGUUGCUUUAAUUUUCAAAGUGAUGCUCAUAUAAUUAGAAUAGGGUCCUGCUAACCAUUAAUUAAGAAAAAAAAUAUUUAUUAUAAAAAUUAGAGAAAAAAAAUUAAAAAAUUGUAUUAUAAUUUUAUGUAUUUCAAUAAAAAUAUUUUUUCAAUUCCUUAAUCAAUAUUUUCAUAACACUAAUUAUUGAAAUAAAGGCAAUACUAUCCGCACCCCAAAUUCAACCUUCUUUCCAUCAUCAUGAUGACCGAAUGGAACAAAGAUCUUGUGGUUUUUCCUUAGCAAUCAAAUAAAAUCCAAUUGAAAGGGGAAAGAGAGAGAAAGUUUAUGUGUGUGGUGGUUGUACCAACGCGGUAGAGAGAAUCUAGGGAGAAGAUCUCAGCAUGAAGGCACACACAUAAAUAACACUACAUCCAUGCCACUGUGCCACCACAGUUUUUUCUCUCAUGCACCUACUAAUAGCAAAAAAAAAAGCUAAGAGGGAUAAUUACAUUCCACCUCUCCUUCCCAUUCUCACUCUCUCUCUCUCUUUCUAUUUCUCUCUCCGUGCGUGACCUUGAAUUACUGAUAUUUUAUAUUUUAACCAGCUAUAUAUAUUACAAGAAAACAUAGAUAGUGUGUGUUCAUCAGCUUAUUCUCAAACCUGAUAUGGAGUUUGUGGAUACCAGAAAACUACAAUUACAACAUCAACAACAACUGCAACAACAGCCGCAACAUUUUCAUGUGUUGGCAGUGGACGACAGUGUCAUAGAUAGGAAGCUAUUGGAGAGGCUCCUUAGAGGUUCUUCAUGCAAAGGUAGUUACAAUAUACCCCUCGUGUUUUGUUCUUCUAAUUCUUCCAUAGCCUCCGAAUGUUGGUAGUACCGUACUCCGUACCAUCUUAAUUCUUAGGUUUUGUGUUGCUAAUCUGGUUAAUGGUUUUGUGGCUAGUUAAUUACAUGUGGUUGAUUAUUUGUUAAGCAGUUACCUGUGUGGACUCUGGAGACAAGGCUUUGAAAUAUCUUGGGCUAAUAGAUGAGCUUGAUGAUACUUCUUCAACCUCUUUAGAAUCAGAAUCUUCUCAUCCUCCACCUCAACCAUUACAACGAGAGGUACUGAUCUUAUUAUUUUGCUUCAAUUCUUCAAUGGUUUUAAGAUAAGUUUGCUUUUUGUGUACUACAUUUGAGCCAGGCUAUUUUAUCGCAUAUAUAUCAAAGUAUUUAGGAAGUUUCAUUCUAUGGAUUUUUUGUUUGUUUCCGUACCGAUAAAUUAUUAUCAUAAAGUAAGUUCUAUGCUUAAUUGGCUUACAACAUUUCUCGUUUUCAAAACAAGCUAGGCUAGACCGUUACUUCUAAUUAAAUGGCUUCCAUUUAGUUGUAAUGCAGCAUUAAUUAUUCCUUUCAUCAUGUAAUUAAACUCUUUCCCCCCCUUAAAUAACAGAAUUCAAUUGCCAAAAUGCCGUCUACGUUUCUUCUUUUUCUAUUAUUACUAAUAGGGGAGAGAGUCACUUCUCUACAUUUUUUAAAAAUAGUAAAAAUAAAACGAAGAGAGAAGAUGAAAAUUGAAUAAGAAAUAUGAGAGCGAAUGGUUAAUUAUAUAGGGAGAGAAGAAAUUAAAUUAAAAAUAAAAUACAGAGAAGUAUGAUAGUUACUUAAUGAAAAAUAGGGAUUUAACAAAAAAAAAACUAAAAUGGAAUACCUUCAUUACUUAUAGUUGUUAGUAUAAAUUAUUGUUGUUGUUGAUAAAUAAUUGGUAUAAGUCAUGUAUAAACACGUAGUGUGGGUAAAAGGAUGAUAUUUGGAAUAUCUUUUGUCCUAAAAUUACCUUCAACAAGAUUAUAUAUAUAUAGCAAUCGCGAGGAGGUUUCUGAAAUUGUUGGUUAAUGUAAACAUAUAACUUGGAAUUCUUGUGGAAUCAUGCAAAUUUAAAGUAUUAAUUAGGAUGGAUAAUCUCACCAGAGUCAUAAGAAAGUGGCUUUCCAUUAAGUUGCCCAUUUCUAUUUCAUCACCACUUCCAUUCACUGAAAUCGCGCACGCAUAUUAUAAAUUUUUAAUGCGUAAUAUUAUCAAAAUGCACUAUGAUAUAUGGAUAUCUCAACAUAAGAUAGCAUAAUAUUAUCUUUUUAAUGCGUACCUGUUCCUACUAGUUUUCUUGAAGAUCCGAUAGCAAUAUUGUAUCCCGCAAGCAUUAAUUUGAUCAUGUCAUAAAAAAAGAAAGAAAAGUUAUACUGCAAUUUAAUGAGUUAAACUUUGGUAGAAAAAGUGGAAAAAAUUUCAAUGCGCUGUACGUACUCUUAAUUGUUGUUUUGAUUCACGAUUGCCACGCUCCUAGAAUCGUAUCUACUCUUGUCUACAUCAGUGUUCUUUAAGGCCCUCUCUUUUGGAAAAGAAAAAGGGGUACAAAAAGGUUUUGGUAUUUACCAUCCAAUGUGGUUUUUGCUACCUCAUCGUGGUCAUUUCAUUUCCCUCCUUUAAUUUUUUUUUUAUCUCCGUAGUAAUAUCUAUGUAUCUAGUUAUAGUGGGGUGAGAUAUUCCAAAUUGAUAGCAAACAGUAACAUGUACUUUUUGUUGCAUCUUUUGAAUUGCUGCAGGGAAUCAAAGUGAAUUUGAUCAUGACAGACUAUUGCAUGCCUGGGAUGAGUGGCUAUGAUUUACUCAAACGAGUCAAGGUCAAACACACAACACUCUUAUUCCCCGACAUAUUCCCGAAAUUCCCUCUGUCUUUUUUUAGCUUGAAUAGCAUGUUCUCACAGACUGAAAAAGAUGCCAAACAUUCCCUUCUCCUUCAAUCAAGAGUUGAAAUAAUUUUUAAUCUGAUCAUUCAUUUAUUUGCAGACUGCAAAGUACCAGUUAAUUAAUUCUUUUAACUUGCAACAUGGUUUUGUUUUUAGUCGGCAUUAUAUAUAACUUUAAACGAGUGAGUGAUACUUCAAGUUUUCAGUAAAAAGAAAGAUAAAAGAAAAAGGAAAAAGUUACAGAUUUCAGGAUCUAAGCUUGCUUUUACCUUUUUUUUUCUUUUCUUUUAUUUGGUUAUUCUUUUUGUUUUCCUUUCAUUCUUAUUUUGACAUUGCUUACCGCUGCAGGGAUCUUCUUGGAAAGAUGUUCCAGUCGUGAUUAUGUCAUCAGAAAAUGUACCUUCCAGAAUCAGCAUGUAAGUUUUCCUAGCUUCAUUGUGGAAUUGAAUUCACUUUUCUUUUUAAUUUUGUUGCUGGGGAUUUUUUUUCUUUCCUUUCAGUACAAUUUCGAAAAUUGGUCUUUAAGAUUUAUCAUAAUCAGUUGUGGCUUCCUUAUAUAAUCAUCACUUUGUUACAUUAAAUAAGAAAGAAAAAAUGCAUCAUGUAUAAGUUUCUGCAGUACAUGCAAGAAAUAAAUGCAUUAGCGACAAAAUUUAGUGACGAAAAUUGCUUAAUGUAUUACAUGUAAAUUAUUUUGUCACUGUCAUGUACUAAUUGACAAGUUGAUUAAUUUGUUGAUAGGUGCUUAGAAGAAGGGGCAGAAGAGUUUCUAUUGAAGCCUCUUCAGUUAUCGGAUUUGGAUAAGCUUCAGCCGUACUUUCUGAAAUCCGUUGAUAAUUCCUGUGAAAAAGAAUCUGCUAACAGUUCCAUAGAUUCAGACAAUGACAAUGUCAUCAACAACAACAGCAAUAACAGUAACAGUAACAAUAACAACAACAAUAGCAUCAGCAAAAGGAAGGCCAUGUCUCCUGAGCCUCAUCGGGAGGAGAGAUCAAGACCCAAAAUGAAAGAGUUAGCGGUGGUGUAAAAAAAAACAACACUAUAGAGAGAGGUUGAUGGAUGCAUGCAUAGGUAUUAUAUAUUAUAGUUUAUGACUAUGAUCCUAAUUAUGGAUAUCUCCUCUACUCUAAGAGCUUAAUUAAUGAAUUCCCAGUGCGUACUAAUGUUGUUCACAGUUACCAUUUACCUUCUUCCUUUCCACAUGUUGCAUGCCACUUGCCAACUUAAAUCACAGAUUCACAGUAGUGUGAGACGAUUUUGACAAAUCAGAAGGAACAUUUUUUUUUUUUGAAGCAUGAAAUUUGUAAGUCUCUGAAACUAUCUUCAAAUUUGAGUUUAAAUCUAUCUUAAACCCAAAAGUUAAUUUGUUUAAGAAGUGAGAAAUAAAUAUUAUGUUGAUCAUCAUAUAUACCACUAAUUAACGUGGAUCUCUCCAGCACCCAUAUAUAAGAGAUAGCUAGUAAACAUAAUUAAGUCAGUGGCUGAGUGGGGUCUUCCAAAAUCCUUGUGUCUGUCUACUCACUGCAUAUAUAUAUAUAUAUAUAUAUGGCUCUUGCUUUCAACACACGCAAUAGACCGUAACUGAACUAAUUUGCUGUCAAGAAGUAAUAUCAGCGUUUUCGCUGACAAAUGGUGUGUCUGGGGUAUUGAGUUACAGUGAUCGGCCAGCACGUGCUUUCCACUGUUUUUCUUUUGUGACUUUGCAUGUAUCAUGAACUUUUUCUUAAAUGCUGUUGUCCAAAAAAAAAAAAUCAAGCUUUUACAAUAACUGAUUGAAAUAUGAGACUUUAUUCAAGAAAAUCAAAUCAAAAUCACUCAAGUCAACAACUUGUUGAUAUAAGUGACUUUUAAAUACAUUUAUUUUUCUUGGUUUAUAUAUAUAUAUAUAUAUAUAUAUAUAUAUAUAUAUAUAUAUAUAUAUAUAUAUAUAUAAAUUUUUUUUGUUAAACACAUUUAUUUAUUGUAUAACGAGGUAAUGAGGUCUCAAUAUAUGAACUUUUCCAAAUCAUCCUUGUAAAGCCAAGUUAUAAGAUGAAUUGACACGUAAAUUUUGAUUUAAUAAUUUUCUGAUAAAUAAUAUAUUUUAUAUCAAUCUAAUACUUUCUAUCACCCUAAAAUAAGUUUCGUUCCAAACUAUUUUACAUAAAUUAAGAAAAAUUAAUAAAUAAAUGAGAAAAUAAUUAAUGGUUUUAGAAAACUAAUCAUAGUAUUAAUAUUACAUUAAAAAAUUAAAAUGACAAAUAUUAGAUGUCUUAGUGGAAAAAAUAAUUAAUAUUAUAUUAAAAAAUUUAAGUAUAACACUUAUUUUGAGAUUUUUUUUUUCAAAUUCAACACUUAUUAGGUGUAAUAGUAUUUUUUUCUGUCAUUCAGCAAAAAAAAGUAUUUUUUUGUCUUCAUGAUACAAAGAGAAAAAACAAAAUAAUCUUAUAAAUCAUUUUCAACAUGUCGAAUUAAAUAAAAAAAUUGUCACAUAAACUUAUUCUGUCGAGCCUAUUGAAUCAAUAGAGAGAUAAAUCAUUUUUUUAUUAAACCUUAUAAAAUAGAACUCAUUAAUGCUUAAGAAUAAUAAAAUUUUAUUAUGUUAUUUUCUUUGCACAUUAUUCUAUCAUACUUCUUAAUAAUUUUGUAUUUUUUUUCUUUGUUAUCUAAACUAAGGAUAUUCUUUAUGGUAGACAAUAUUGUUUGAGUUAGAUAAAGCUAAAUAAGACUACUAUGAACACUAAAGUUUACCCUCAUAAUAUUCAAUGCAGUUGCAUAUUUAAGACUAAAACUCGAAACAUUUAAUUAAGUUAGAAUAACCUUACAAAAGUUGAUCCACACAUUUGGUGACUAUUUUUUUAUAUUUUAACAGGAUACAAUAACCUUUUUUAAUAGUAAUGAAAUUAAUUUUGAUAAAAAAAAUAACCUUGUAAUCGAAAUUGAAUUAUUGAUGAAACAAGUUACUUUUUUAGUAGUUAUGAUACAAAUUAUUAUUUUUAAUACCAAUUGAACAAAUUAUGGUACAUAUUACCUUUUCCAAGAUUGUAUCAUAAUUAACUCUUUUACUACUAAAAAUGACAACUUGCAUCUAAUUAAAUUAAUUUUUGUUAGAAAAUAUAUCAUAAUUAGUUUUAUUAUUAUUAAAAGAUAUACCAUUAAAAAAGAUUAAUUGUAUCGUAAUGAAUUUAAUUUCAAUUAGAAAAUACUUUAUAUCAUAAUUAAUUUGACAUUAAAAGGUAAUAUUUAAAAAAAGAUAAAUUGUGUUUUGAAUCAAUUACACAAGAAAACUUAUUAUCGUUGUGUAUUUCAUUAACACUAGGGUGUGUAGUUUAUUUAUGAAAAAAAAUUAACAUCACGGAAAAAUAUUUCUUUUAUAUUUUUGUUUCAGAUAUAUAAUGAAAAUAAGUGUUCAUUGAAUAUAGGACAUAACGUAAACUUAUUCAUUCUGUGAAAAACAAAAGAGGAAACUUAUUUUUGUAAACAAUAAGUUGUUAAUUUUUUUUUAAAAAAGACAAAUUAUUCUUUUACACUCAACAAAUUUCUUCAACACCCAACAUAUCUUAAGAUACCCAUCAGAAGAAAUUGGUUAGUUAGAGGAAGAAUAACAAAAAAAGGUUAGAUUUGAACUUCGAGAAAAGAGAGGUCAGAAUAAUAUGGGCCCAAUCCAAAUAACUUAUUGGACUCCGUCUCAAAACAUCACAUUUCUGAAUGCAAUGCUAUGUACAAUCUAAGAUCAUUAGUUUAAAGAAUUAAUGAAAGAGUUUGUUAGAAAUCUAUUUUGGUGUUAAAAAAUUACAUUACUAAAAGAUCAAAUAUUUUUUUUAUACAUUUUAAAAAAUAUUUAUUAUAAAACUCAAUCAUCUUCUUAUACAUAUUAAAUUGUAAUUAAAUAACAAUAUCAAAAUAUUAAUAUUAUAAUUAAAUAAGUAUUUAAAUUAUUUGUAAGUAUAUUAUUUAUUCUUAAUGAAAUCAAUUAAAGAGAAUACCAUAAUACAAACAAUGCGCAAACAUUUUGGUAUAUAAUGCCGACAAUGAAGAUACAACCUUCUGCCAUAUAAUACUUAAACCCAAGUCCACACUAAUGGCCAAGUGGGUUAGAGGUAUAAAAUAUGUAAAUUAUAUUAUAUUAAAUCAAAAUUGUAAUUUUUUAAAGAUGUGGAGACUAAAAUUAUGGAAAAAAAGAGAAUCAAAAUUGCGGAAAAAGAAUUAAAGGAGAACUAAAAGUGAAAUUUUUGCUUAAAAAUAAAAUUAAAUACUAUUUAGUACUAGAAUAAAACAUGUAGCUCAAUGGGAAUAAUAAUAAUAAUUAAAAUCUCUUAUUAUUAAUAAUAAAAGCGUUCUUAAUGAUAGAAGAAUGACUCAUAAAUGCAAUUGUUCAAGAUAAAGUUUCAGGUCUGUAGCAUAAAAAUAGAUAAUUAGAGUUAAUUUCGAUAAAAAUCAGUUUUGAACUGUUGAACAAAUCUGUUCAAAAAUAAAAUAAAUUUGUAUAAGCAAAUUAAGUCAGCCACUUUUGUACUAGAAAAUAUACUAUAGUAACAAAUACGAAAAUCAGAUUUUAGGUAAAAGAAAAAAAAAAAAACUUUAGGUAGAGCAUGUGUAUAACUGUAUAAGGCCAAACACGGAGAAAUACAGAGCAACUACUAACAGGGUUUGCAAAACACGCUUAACUGAAAAUUUUAUAUCAUAACAUACGUCACGAUAUGAAACUUAAAAUUACUAUUAAGAUAUCUAGAGACUAGAGAUACUGGGUGAUCUAAAAACAUCCAUUAAUUUAACUCGGAUCCCAGCUACACCUUUCCCUGCACUAAACUCUACUACACCAAGCAAAAGCUCCCGUUUUUAUUAAGUAAACCAUACAUAAAAGAAAACCGAAAAGAAAAGAAGAUCAAAGGAAGAUAGGUAGCACCUAAGGUUCACUAAAUUCUGAUAACGAGAUACAAAAGGGUGUGCAGCCCACAUGUAACUUUGUGUCUAUAUCCCAUGUGAGGAACAGCUCCCUUUCAAAGCUCAUCUUUUCCUUUUUCUUGCUCAUCUUGUCCUUGUUCUUGCUGAGCAGGUUUAUCUUGUCCUUGUUCUUGCUGAGCAGGUUUGUCCCGGUUCUUUUCGAUGAAUUCUAUGAUGUCUUCCUUGGUCCUACCCCCUUCGUAUUGUGAUAACUUUCCACUUGCUGACCUGAAGUACACGGUUGGAUAACCUUGGACAUCAAAGGUUUCACUUGGGAUAUCGUUGGCAGUUGCAUCCUGGAAAGUGACAUAAGACAUGCAGAAUAUAAUUAGCAAACAAAAAAACCUAGGACUAUAAUUUCAUUAAAACGCAUUUCCUAACUGCACAGAUACACUCCCAGCUUUUUUACCACAGCUUUCAGUUUCAGCUGUCAAGGCUAUACUUCUUGAAGCAUCGAUUGAAACAAAUAUAAUCGAAGCUGAAUACUAGAUGCAUUUCUUACCAGUUUUGCAAUAACAACAUCAGCAUCACUUUGAUAUGAGAUAGCAACUUCGUCCAAUAUUGGAGCCAACUGUUUGCAAUGACCACACCAGGGAGCAUAAAACUCCAGCAGAACUGUAAGGUGUUUGGGUUAGCAGUUAUAAUAGUGGAAUGAUAAAGGCAAAUCACUAAUUAACACAAAUGAUGUCUGAAGGAUAUAAUCACAGAUACAUAACAGAGUAUCAGAAGGAUAUCACAUAACUUUUCAUUAAAAACACGUUUGUUCCUUCAUAUAGUUUGCAACCAAUAAUGUGAUAUUUUUUGUUAGAGCACAGUGAAUGCCAAAAUCUAUCUGAUAUCCAUGGAAUAAAACCAAAUAAAAAAAGAAGUAAAGUACAUACCAUUCUUCCCAGAUUUGAAAACAAUGUCCUCAAGACUGUUCCCAACUACCACUUUAACAGGUUCAUCGUUAGCUUCAGGAAUGGGUUCAGACUUCACAAAUGGUGCAACAUUACCAUCCUGAAAUAUUCAGAAAGAAAAUGUUAAAAUUUAUAAUUUUCAAGACAAAUAAUAGUCACAAUUAGACAACACAAAAUUAAAGAGUUCACUAAACUGAUAUAUCCCAAUCACUAAAAUAAGAUGCCAGAUUAAAUUAGGCGAAAGCAAUAUGCUACUAAAAGAAAUAAGAAUAACCUUGUACGCCUUCAACCAAGUUGGAAUGUGAUCAGCUUCCAAAUUGGGUUUAAAAAACUUUUUCCCGUCAUUGUGUUGAAUGAUAAUUAGAGGUACUUGUUCUUCUUUCAGUCCAAAAUACUACAAAGAGAAGCCAUACUCAAUGUCAAAAAAAAUAAAAUUCAUAUUGAUAUUAAGCAGAGAAUAGCUACAGAAUUUACAUAUUUUGAUACAAACCUGGAAAGCACCUUGACUAGACUCAACAUCUCCCACCAAAAAGCUUACACCCUGUUGUUUAUGUUGCUCAGCAGCUUCACGGUAUUUUGAUUUGAAAGAUUCAGCACCUUCGGCAGUGAAGUUGAUGAACAACAUUGCCUAACAAUAUCAAAACUUUAGUUUAGGUUUCUUGAACACAGUAUAAAAUGGGGAGAAAAUCAAAACAAAGGAAAUAAUAAAUAUUUUGGAAUAGAAAAUGAGGUGAAAGGAAACAAAUUCAGGAAAAUGCUAUGAAGUUCAGAAUGGUAGGCUGAUGGGGAGAACACUAAACAGAAAGUGAGGUUUAUAGUUAUCAAUCUCGGAUAGAUGCCAGCUCCGAAAAUGAUAUAGCAGGACGCGGGAAUGCCACAAUUUUAAAUAUUAUAGUACAAAAUAAAAAAUUUGAGGGCGAGCCCUGGUGCAGCGGUAAAGUUGUGCCUUGGUGACUUGUUGGUCAUGGGUUCGAAUCCGGAAACAGCCUCUUUGCAUAUGCAAGGGUAAGGCUGUGUACAACAUCCCUCCCCCAUACCUUCGCAUAGCAAAGAGCCUCUGGGCAAUGGGGUACGAAGUUUAAUACAAGAUACAUAAUAAGUCACUUUCACCAUCAAUCUAGGAUCAAUAAGAACAUAAUAAUGGGAAAAAAGAUUAAAGAAGAUAAUGAAAUUAAUUGAAAAAGAACAAAACAGAUCGGACGAAAAUUAGUCAAAUGUGAACUGGGAAGUCUAAAGGAAAGGAAGAAGAAACAUAGGAACAUUAGUAACAAAAAAAAAGUACUGUAAAGCGUGAAGGAAUAAAGGUCAAAACAGAAGAAACACUUUGUGCAACGGUCAAGGAAGAAGGCUUUGAAACCCUAUGUUUUUUAUGCAAAAAAAAUGGCAUUAGAAAAUGUGGUAGAAAUCACAAUUGAAUCCAAAAAACCCAGACAUCGUUUCAGGGGUAAAAACGAGGUUUUGAAGUCUAUGUCAUGGUAGUGCGACUAUAGCAGGCAAAGCCCCCAGUACCCCAAUGGCAGCUAUUUAAAUCCACUCUGUGAUCCUUUGCUAUAGUGUUUGUUGACAACAUGGUGGGGUUGAAUAAAUAUAAAAUGCAAUUGCAAUAGUGUAAUUAAUAAUAAAUACUCCGCUCCAAUAUUGAAAGAAUAAAAUAGACUUAGAUAGCUUCUUACCUUUGCAUUGGGACUGUUGAAGAAUUUGGCAACGAAAGGGUGAUUGCUCGGAUCAUUGUUAAAGACAGUAACAACAGGGGUACUAGAUUCCUCAACAAAUUUCUCUAGAGCUUCCACAUUGAAAUCCUUCAAGCGCGAGACAAUUUUGUACACAACCGAAAUGAGAUAAACACAUAAAGAUAAGAUUGCAAAUUCAAUCCGCAGAAAUCAACACUACCUGGAAGUCAACAAAAAGUUCAUCGAAUGGCUUGAACAACCUAACUACGGGACCAGAAACUGAUGACUCUCCUCUUGGAAGGUGUUUGGCAUUCAGAGUGUGACCGAAGUCAUAGUCAGAACGCAACUUCUCUGCUAAGGCAGAAAAGUUGUCAAACUCCUCUCCAGAAAAUUUCGGGAAAACUCCAACCUGAAAACAUAGGAAGACAUUAUUACAGACCAAUAUGAUUUGAAAUAAAGCAAAAACGAAACAAUCGGUCACUUACAAUAGCAACUUUAUUUUCACCAAUGAAAGCAGUAGCUUCAUCAGCAGAUUUAAUUUCAGUUGAAGCAGGACCACUUUGUUUCUUCAAAUAGUCAACGAUGCCAUCUGCUUCACGGGGACCUUUGUAUUCCUGAACAUUCUUUCCCCCAUUUCUCAGAAUCUUAAUUGUUGGGUAUCCCCUAACAUCAUAUUGAGAUGCAAGGUCUUUGUUCUUCUCCUCAUUGGCAUCAAUUUUAGCCAAAACAACCGGAGGAUCAUGACUACUCAAGAUAGAAGCAGCUUUCUCAUACUGCAGAAACAGAUAUUCCAGAAAUUCAUCGUUUGCAUAAUCUUACCAUAUAAAUUCAAAGGAAACCCCAAAAUUAAAGGAGAAACACAAUUACCUCGGGAGCAAGCUUCUUACAGUGGCCACACCUAGAAAGAAAGAAAAAACAAAAAUCAUACGAAAAUCAGAAAAUCGAAAUGCACUAAUAUUGAUAACAAUCGAUCUCCAUGAAAUCGAUUUUGACCAAUUGAUUUAAAAUGAAAAAUCGAGCACUAACACAAAACGAAUAAACUGUAAAAAUUAAACGAGAGUAAAAUGCAGACAUCAGUAUAGACACAAAUUUAUGACAGGAAAUCAACAAAAGGUAAGAUCUAAAACAAAGUGGAAGCAAAUGUAACAGAUCAUGACAAGUAAAGUAAGCAUCAACCAGGGACAAAAAAGAGCAGAAACAAAUGACAGAAUCGAAACAUACCAUGGAGCGUAGAACUCGACGACGAUGAAAUCGUGCUUGCUGACAGUGUCGUGAAAGUUAGAGUGAUCCAAUGUGAGUACGAACUCUUUCUCCGAUGAUUCCUCAGCGGAGAUCUGAAAAGGAAGAAGGAGAGAAAGAGCAAACACGAAGAAGAAGCACGUCGAAACCCUACCCGCCAUUGUUCCUCUGAAAAUGCUAUGAAAAAAUUUGGGCAUCGUAGACAGUCACGAGGAGGGGGUUUUGAAGGAGGAGAAACAGAACCCGAAAUGCAUAACGUAUGACACGUGCGACAUUUUCUCAGAUAUUUUGGACUUUUGAUACAGUGUGACGAAUCUCAUGUCCCCACGUUGGCACUCUCUCUUACGUGGCGAAAUAUCAUUCGACAAUUCUUGUCACACCAAUGUUUUUCUCUUUUUUUCAUAUUUUUAGGUUAUUUUUUUUUCUUUUCAGUCAAUAAAUAAAUAAAAGUUUCCAAUGCUUUUCUUCAGUGCAUAAUGAAGAGGAAUUUUUAAAAUAGGGGCUAUAAUUAAGUGAUAAACUGAUUAUGCUUUUCAGGGUGCUGAUCCUGUGUAGGUGAGGUGUAUGUUAAGAUGAGAUGGAUUUGAAUUUGAAUGCUUGCGUGGUCAAUUUGUUGUCUUGUUGAUUAAGGGAAAGAGUUUACUGUUGAUAAUAUCAUUUGACUUUUUUUUGUUAAGUUUCUUAACAGCAGUUAAUACAUCAUUAAAUGGUUGACUACUAACUUGGCAAAACAAAGAAGCAAAUCGUUGAAUAUCGAAAUGGAUGUGUAUUCUAUAUACUGUAGUACUAGUAUUCUUCAAUAAAUUCAAAAUUUUGUCAAUUAUGUUUAAUAUCUUCAUUUGAAUAUUUAAUUUUCUUAUAUAUUUAUCCUUUUCAAUUUUAUUUUUUUAUUUAUAUUUAUAAAUUAAAUUUUAAUAGUUUUUAAAUAAAUUAUUAUUGAUAAAGCAUCAUCUUAUGUCGUAAUUUUAAUUAUUUAUUAUAAAUUUCAAAUGUAAUUUUUACAUUUAAAAAUAUUCAUUCAUUAUGAAUCUAACUGUAAUAUAAUUUAAAUAUUAAAAAUAUUUUUUUAUGAUCUUUAAUUAUAUAAAAAAAUAAUAUUUAUAAUGCACAACUUUAUUUUAAAUUACAAUUAUAAUAAACAAACAACUGAUAAUUGAAUUCUCCUUAUCUUUUGGAUUCUUUUCUCUAAACUUUAAAAUAUAUCAUCUUUUAUACUUUAUCUUUUUAAAUUUCAAUAAAAGUAUUAAUAAGAUAUAUUUUUAUAUCCACUAGUUGUUAAAAAAAAUCGUCUCUAAAGAUUAAAAAAUUAUUUUCUAAAAUUAAGGAUUAAAAUGAUUUUUUUUAAUUUAGGACGUUAAAACAAAUUUUACUCCAAAUUUCAUAAAUAAAAAUAUAAUUAAAAAUGAGAGAAAUGUCAACUUUCCUUUUUGGUUUUUAGGAGUAGGCAAUAUGUUUUAUAGUAAAUGCAUGUUGGGUUUUAAAAAAAUCAAUUCAAUUUUAAAUAUAAAUUAUAUUAAAUGCAAAAUAAAAUAAUUCUGACCUACAUCAAUAAAGAUUAAAAUUUUAAAAAAAUUGAAUGAACAUGUACUUGGUCCCAGUAAUAAUGAGUUCAAGAUGCUUAAAUUAAAGGUUACACGUUCAAAUUUUGAUUAUUACAUGUAGUAAAAAACUGAUUGAAAGGGAUAAUAUACUUUUGAUUUUAAUGUAUAUGUAUGGAGAAUAUAACAUAAUUUUAUAUUGAUAAUAAGUUAUGACGGUUUAAAUUAAUUUAAUAUAAUUAUAUUUUAAAAGUCAACAAAUUUUUCAUAAAAUAAAUUAUAAUUAAACAAAUGUAUAAAACUUUUUAUAUUAUUAAUAUAUAAACUUUUUUCUCGUAUGUACUAUUAAGUGUCAUCAAAUUCUCUAAAAUAAAUUAGUUUGGAUAAAUCAUCGAAAGCUCCUCACAAUUGCAUGUAUGUAUAAAAAAAAAUAGAAGAAAAGUUUAUGGUAACAGAGAAGAGUUUUUUAGCAAGUACAAGCAAUAAAUUGCAUUUUUACUGUGAGAAAUGUUAGUUAAUAAUUAGUUAUUUACUGCAAUCAUUUGAUCUCAACAAAAUAAAUAAUAAUAAGAAGUAAUUCUAAAAGAGUUAUUCUUGAAGUAAGAAAAUAUCUUUUCAUUAAUUUUUUUAAAUAUAUAAUUUAUCUAAUAAUUAAAUUUAUAAUAAAUAAUUAUAUUUAAACAUAUAAAUAAAUUUUCAUAUCUGUGAUCAAUAAUUUAUAUUGAAAUACAAUGUUAUUUUAAAUUAUUGAUAAUUUAUUUUAAAAAAUAUAUUCAAAUUAAAAUUACAACUAAAUAUAUUGAAAAUGAUAAAUUAAAAGAAAUAUGAGAAUAAGAAAAAUCCUCAAAGACACUAAUGUUAAAGAAAAAUUUCUCACAAGAAGAAUCCUUAAAGACACUCAUGUUAAAAAAAAUCCUUAAUGACAGCUAAAGAGUAACUAUUUAUCAGUUAAUUUUUAAACAUGUAAACGUACUCUGUUUAGGUAACAAGCAAGUAUGGCCAAGUAGGGAGAAAUAUUCUUCAACUAUUACUAAAAACGGGUUUGUGAACUACGCAUCUUUAGUGUGUGUUUCAUUUAUAUUUUGAUUAAAAAUAAUUUAAACCAUUAACAUAAUUAAAAUAUCAAAUAUUCCUAUUAAUAUCAAUUGCAAAUUUUAUAUUAAAACACAUAAAUUAAUUUUAAUCAUAGACCAACAACAACAAUUAAUUAAAGUAAUAAUGAUUUGUAUCUCUUAAUUAAAUAGUUUAGGAUUCGAAUCUUGUUCUCGAUAUGAAAUAUAUCACAUUAGGGGGGAAAUAAUACUCAUGAUUCUUGAGGAACAUUAAUUAAUAAUUGUAUAUUCUGAAAUGUUUAUAUUAUUUUAAAAAAAUAUUAUCCAAUUGAAAGUUAUAAAAUAGUGUAAUAAUUGUUAAAAUUACAACGAUAUAGUUUGAUCAUUCUUCUUCCUUAAAUAACUUUAUAUAUAUAAAUUAUACAUUGAAAGUGUAAAAUUAUUUUAUAUUGUUGUCCAAUUAUAAUUAUUGAUUAAUAUAACUUUUAAAAUAAUUAUUAUAAAACUUAUCAUAUUGUGAUUAUACAUUUAUUUUCUACUAUGCAUAAUCUAUUUUCUCUAUCAUUAAUCUACUUCAUAAUUAGUUAUAUUUUCCAUUGCUGAAACGACCAGUGGGCAUUCCAAAAUCAAUUUCAUAGAGAUCAUGGUGAAAUACCCAUCAGAAAGGAUAUUACACAAAAUGAAUUAGAUCAAGUGUUCAAGCAGGGGCCUCUAUUUUGUUCUGGUUCUUUUACUCAGAUGGAGAUACAGUGAGUUUUAUAAUGUGCAAGGGGGUUAAGGUGAAAUAUCCAAAUAGGUUCCACCAACUGUUACUCUUGUUGAAGCGCAUAUAAUGGGCCCACCAAGAAUUUUCAUAAUAUUGUGUGAUAAAACAUAGCUUAAUUUUUUAGUAGGCUAGAAAACUAUGUUUGCCCUCUGCUAAAAUAUAGCUCCAUUUUUUAUUAUAUAGCAUAAAAAAAAAUCUUAGUACAUGUCACAAAUCGUAAGCAUAAAGGCAUCACCCGUGAGUGAAAAUGAUUUAGUCAAUAAAUUGAUAAGGGGGGUAGCCGUGCAAUUAUGAAAUGAUCCCAGUCUUCCCAAUUGAUUCUAAAAAGCGAAAGGAGGAGCAUUGGACUAAAUUCAUGGUGGAACUGGAAAGUGCUCAUUGUUGCAUUAACAUUGACAGAAUUGGUAGCCAUUGGUAAUUAGUGGUAAUGUUAAUGUGCGUCAGAUUGUGAAUUUAUUGACGAAUUUAAACAAGCCUUGUAGUGGAGCCAUCUACACGCAUUCACUCUUGUGAUAUAGAGUAAAUGAGUUCCAAAUGAGAAUUUGUUGAAUCUAAAAAAUCUUAACACUAGCAUUAGCAUUUUCAUGAGUUUUAGCUUUCAUUGCAUUAAUGAAUGGAUGAGGAUAACGAUAAUUAGACAAGUUUUGAAAUUUAAAAAAUUAAUAAUUUAUUUGUUGAAUCAUUACAUGUUUUCUGAAUUUACACUAUAAAAAACUUGAUAUGACCCUUAAUAAAAUCAUCAAAAAUAAACUUAUUGACGUGAAAUGCCUUGUGAUGUUAAUGAAUAGUAAUCAAACUACCCUUACUAUCAAUAAUAAUUUAUUUGUGAAUAGUAAUCAAACUACCCUUACUCAUCAGUUCUCCUAAAAUUAGAGUAAGAUUGAGUACAGUGUGUUGUAAGCUGUUACGCUAUUAUAUCCGAAUAACAGGGUUAAAAAAAGAAAACUAUAUAUUUGUUUAAAGGACAAAAUUGGUUAUUAAUUAAAGUAUAAAGUUAGAUUGUUAUUUUUAAAAUAAAUUUUAUAACCGGUUUUGGCUAUAACCAAUUAUAUAUAACUGGGGCUUUGGUUAUAACCGGUUAUAUAACCAGAUUUUAAAAAAUCAAAACCAGUUUUGUUUUUACCAAACCAAAACCCAAACGGUAUAGAAUCCAAUUGUCAUGAGCUCCCCUAAUUCCAAUGAAAAUGGGCAACAAAUGAUCUACAGACAGUUAGCUACCUUUUCAAAGCUCAUUUUUUCCUUGUUCUUGUUGAGCAGGUUUGUCGCGGUUCUUUUC
Molecule: long non-coding RNA, 44753 nt
Filed under: Glycine max (soybean)
Lineage: Eukaryota; Viridiplantae; Streptophyta; Magnoliopsida; Fabales; Fabaceae
Description: long non-coding RNA (GMAX_LNC000916)
Source: RNAcentral